RNAcentral lists this long non-coding RNA (46716 nucleotides) under Lathyrus oleraceus (garden pea). RNAcentral describes it as "Pisum sativum (pea) long non-coding RNA (PSAT_LNC029552)". The record is from RNAcentral. Lineage: Eukaryota; Viridiplantae; Streptophyta; Magnoliopsida; Fabales; Fabaceae.
CAACCCAAUAUUUCUACAAACAACGGUAAUCAUUUCUCAAUGCAUAAGUAAUAGUUUCAUUGACAAAUAACUUAUACUAAAAAUAAAAAUUCAUUUUGAAACUUGCCUUAGUUUUAUCAUGUAAGAACACACCAGCAUGUAGUCGAUCAAACAUCUUUUCCUUGAAAGAUCUAUCAACCGGUGAGUCUGCAUCCCUUAAUAUGUGCUCAAAGUUGUGAGGAAAACUUAGUUGUGCUGAUUGAGUCUCAUAUUUGGCUUUUACAGCUGGGCCCUUUUGUACCACCUUUCUGGAGGGUUCUAUGUUUUGUUGUGGAGACAGCAACAAGUUUUCCCUUGUGGGAGAUAAUCGUAGUUCUUCCUUAUUUUUGGUUGGUUCAUUUGGUUGGUGAUGCUUUUGUUGUGGCUGUGACUGUGAAUGAUGAUGUGUUUGAGGAUGUUGGUGCUGCUGCUCUAGCUCUGAUAGAGAAAGGUGAUGCUUUUGUUGUGGCUGUGACUGUGAAUGAUGAUGUGUUUGAGGAUGUUGGUGCUGCUGCUCUAGCUCUGAUAGAGAAGCCCCCAUUUCAGUUGGUAUGCUAUAUGUUUUUCAUUCGUGCUUGCUUUUAUUUAUAUAUAAAAUUAGAUACUGUUAUUUUAGAAAGUAAUGUAUUCUCUGAUUAGGAACAUUUGCCUCAGACCGUGAGUUGAUGAUCCUUUUGGAAUAUUACAUAUUGUGAGAAUUUUUUUUACUCUGUAGAAAAUUCUCAAGGUGGUGGUUUAUUUAUCAUAAUGACAUAGGAAAUGUAUUUGUUAAAAAACACCAAAAAUAAGUAUGGGUGAUAUUCAUUUUAUCUGAAGUCUAAUUAGAGUAUUAUUAAACCUGCAUUUAUAUCCAUUAAAUAGUGGGUAUUUAAAUAUCCAUUUAUUUUAUCAGCAGAUAUUCAUUAAGUUACCCGCCCCGUAUUCGUGAUAGAUUUUAUUUGGCGCCACCAACGGAUACACAUUUUUUUUGCCAUCCCUAAAUUUUACCUUCUUCGAUCUUGAGAUCAGAUAUGUCCAUAAUAGUUUUUUUCUAAAAUAAUCUUCAUCAUUCUUGUGGACUUAGGUGCCAAAGCUUCCUACGCCACAAAUUAGUUUCUUCAACUUUAGAUAUGAGACAAGAUUGGGGUUUAUUUUCAUAAGUGGGUGACCACAAGUAGCAAUUGUUAGUAGAUCUAGAAUCCUUCAUGAGUUAAGUGUGUUGUUUAUAUGUAAUCGUGCAUUCUUCGCUAUUAAACUUAAUGCUUAAAUCCUGAUCACAUAAUUAACGGAUGAUGAUGAAAUUUUCAAUAAGACUAUCAAUCAACAACACAUCUUUAAGAUAAGGAAGUCCAAGACAAUCUAACUGACCCUUUUCAAUAAUUUAUCAUCUAACACCAUCGUAAAAACUAACAUAAUAGUUGGAAUAGGGUUUGAUAUUCUUUAGAUAGUUCCUUUCAUUAGCCACAUGUCUUUAAUAAUUUCUAUUAAAGUACUAGUUUUCUCUAGAUGAAACCUUGAGAAAGUUGCAAGCAAUAUUAGCUUGAAGCUUAGGCUUGUCACGUUAUAGUUAUUGAGGAUGCCGAUCAGUCUUUAUAUUCCACUAGGGAUAUAGUUGUUUUUAUGUAGAUUUUUACCAUAUAGUUUAUAACAUAAAGGAUGAAUGUGCCCACACCAACCAUAGUAAUAACAAACCCUUAGAGAUUUGACUAAGGUGUUAGUGUGCUACUAAUAAUGUUAGGUAGGUUGUUGUGACAUUAUACCAUACAUCGUAGUUUCUGAUUUAUGUGUAGGAGGAACAAACACAAUAUUUGGGGAUGAUGAUAUGCUAGUAUAUCAAACUUCUUUUUAUUCUUUGCAAGUUUGUCCAUACUUAAAAUGUCAUCAAGUUUAUCAUAUCCAUAAUUUAGCAUGCGCACAUAUUUGGUCAUACCUUCAAGUUUAGAAUUAAGACGCCCAACUUCUUGCUUCAAAUCAUUAAUAGUGAGCAUGGUUCAAUUUUUUUCUUGAAAAAUAGUUUCAAUUCAUACCUUUUUUUGUUAAUCACUUUUGAUUCUUCAUUCCACUUUAAAUAAAGAGUUUGUAUAUGCUUCAUAAAGGGCAUCAAUCGAUAGCUCAUCUUCAUCACUUUCAUUCCCAUUACAAUUAGGAAAUAUAUAAGCAUUAGGUAACUCCGGAUUAGAAAUCUCUUUGAAACGAGUAGUAAGAGCCACAACAUUAUUUGUUUGAUCAAACUCACGUUCUUUGUCAGAUUCAUCAUCUGAAAAGGCGACAUUAUAGUUUUUUCUUUUUUUUAUUAUAAAAUUAGAACAUUCAAAUUUGAUAUGUCCAAAUCCUUCACAUUCACGACAUUGAAUUUCUUUAGCUCUGUUGGGAUCACAGAGUUUUUUAUUUUACCAUAUUUUCCUCGACGCUAAAAUUUACCACUUUUCAGAUUUUGUUGUUGAUUGUCUUUGACAUUGGAAUGACAUUGUUCCAAAUCUUCUAUCAAUUUUCUCAUGCUAAAGCUCUUAGUGAGUAUAGAAGUAGAUUCAGUUAAAUUAUCAUCAGUGUCAUUGACUACAUGGUCUUCAUGAUCAACAAUGUCAACUUUGGUACACCUUUAUUCUUUCUCUCAGAUUUUUCAUCAAUGACAAUAUCAAAGGUGGGUAAGGAGUCAAUCAAUUAAUUAAAUUUCAUUUUGAAGAUAUUUCUAGCUUCCUCAAUGGUAGUAACCUUCAUAAUAAACCUCUUUGGUGGAGAUCCUAGAAAUUUUCUUAUAGGCUUCUCGUAUGACAUUUUUUCACUAAGAGCGAAUGAGUUAUUAGUAAUGUCACAAAGAUGUACAUUAAAUUCACUAAUAGGUUCAUCCUCAAACAUAUUCAAAAUUUCAAAUUUAGUGGUAAAAAGUUGAAGUCUUGACAUAAAAACUUUGGAAGUUCCCUAAUGAGCAACUUCAAGAUUUUUUCAUUCCUCUUUAGCACUAGUGCUUAUGUUAAUGAUUCAUUCCCCUAACUAUAUUUUUGUAAACUCCAUUGUAAAUAGAAUUAUGAAAAUGAUAACUCCCAAGUGCUUCUUCAUCUUCGACAUAUGUCCAAUCUUUUCCAGGCUUCACAUAUUCUAAAUCAUCAUCAUCUUUGAUCGUAGGAGGAUUUCAUUCAUUGAUGAUCUUUUUCCAAGUUUUGUCAUCCAUGAUCUUAAGAAAGGAGACCAUAUGUUCUUCCAAUAGUCAUAAUUAGUACCAUCAAGAAUUGGUGGAUGGUUAAUAUAUCCUAAUUCCUUGGUAUUGUCCAUCUUAAACAUAAUAUGAUAGAUACCCUAAAAUGCACCCAACUAAAGCAGGGUGCAUGCUCUGAUGCCCAUUAAAAUUAUGUUUGAUCGAUAACAAGAUGUCACACACAAUGUAGAAACAAUGCGUGAGACAAAUUGAUAUGAAAUAAUCGAUGAACAAUCAAAUAAAUUAUAAAUAAGAAACACAAAGAAUUGGUAUCCCAGUCUGGUGCAAUCAUCACUUAUGUGCGGAGGGUUGUAGCCCAAAGGAAAAGAAAUUCACUAAUUAGAAGUAGUCAAUAGUAUACGACGGUCUCAUCUUAAGGAAUAUCUUGAGUUUCUUGAAGAAAGUAAUAAAAUGCUUAAGUUCGAAUUUGCUAGUAUUAGAAAAUCAACUUAAACAUGUGAGACUUGCGUCUCUUUGAAAAAGGAAGUGACAGAUCUAUAUGAAAUCUUAAGUAAGUUUACUAAGGAAAAAUAAAACAUUGACCUGAUCUUAUUAAGUCAAAAUCCUUCCUUAAAUAAAAUUGGAUUUGUUAAAAAUUUCAAGAAUAUCAAAAAUAAAUAUUGGUGAUAUUCCUUUUUUUAAUCUAAUUGGAGUUUUAACUUCUUUCUAUUUAAAUAUUAGAUAAAUAAACAAUCAAAAAUUAAUAUUUUUUUAAUUUAAUUGACAUUUUGACUUCUAUUUAUAAAAAUAUAUAUUGAAGUAACAUUUUCUCUUUUAAUCGAGUUGGUUUUGACAUUUUCUAUUAUUUUUAGUCGAUGAUUUUUUGAACAUUUUUAUCGAUGCUUCACAAAGGACUAAUGGUAAAACAUUUUUUUAAAAGAUAAACUUCAACAAAAAUUGUUUCACCUUAUUUUAAUCUCAUUCUUUCAUACUGAGUAACCUUUAUAAUUGGUCGAAUUGUUACUCGAAUGUUUUGCAUGGAUCAUAUCGCUAACUAUUUCUUGCAAUGAACGAUUCUUCGUUUCACCAAUUCCAUUAUGGUGAGGUGUGAUGAGGGCAGGGAGUUCAUGGACAAUCCCUUCAGUUGUGCAGAAAUGAGAGAAGCUGGAGUUCUCAAAUUAUCUGACAAGAUCGCUUCGAAUGGGAAUGAUAUUGGAAAGUUCUUAUCCCUUUUCACCUUGUAGAGGACGACAAAGAGUUUCAAAAUAAUGAAGGUGUCAUACUUUUCACGAAUAAACUCCAUCUGGUGUACCUGGAGUAGUCAUAAACAUACACAAAAACAUAUCUCUUAUCUUCAAGACUCUCAACUUGCAUAGGUCUCAUAAAAUCCAUAUGAAGUAAUUCAAGAAUACGAGUAGUGGUAAGAUAUUGAGCCUUCUUAUCUGAAAUCUUAUUUUGCCUCCUAAUCUAAUAGUCUCACUACUACAAAAAUCAUAUUUUACCUUGGACGUCAAUGGGAUUUUACCUUGCUUACUUAAGUGAGAUAACGAAUGACGUCAUAAAAACUUGCCAUUUUACCCAUCGGUUUCUGAUUAACUGAGGGGAUAGUUGAAAUUGUCAUUUUUUCGACCCCCAACAACAACAUUUUUAUAUUUUUAAAACUAACGCCACAUACCUCGGUUUCUAUCAAAAACCGAGGGAAAAAUAUUUUUUUGAAAUACAAAUUACAUUGUUUACACAGAAUAUUAAAUUACAUUGUUUUAAAAUAUCUAUUUCUUUAUUAAAGUACAAAGUUUAUUAUGUUACAUUGUUUUGGUUUCAAUAUACAAGUACACAUUUUUGACAAAUCUGAUUCAUCAUCACCACUCUUAUUCUUGAAGAAGAACAAAUCCAUAUUUCGUUGCAUACCCAUUGCUUUUCAAGUUCAAUAGUUUUGCACGCUUUCAAUUUUUGAUUUAACAUAAAAAAGGUUAUAUACAUAACAUAAAAUUUCAGUUAAAAGAUAAGAUAUUAUGUAAGAAUAUCACCCUUGGAACAAUUUUUUUAUGCACUUGCAAUCCAUCCCAGAUAUUUGUUACAAGCUUCAAAUUGCUUUUCAUGGUCAAUGCUUCAUUGUCAAUGUUUAGGUUUCAAAGGACAACGCCUAUGAUAUAUAGUGGUGGUGUUCGUGUUCUUAUUGGAUGUAAUGGGUAUCUUGUGGAUUGAUGUGUUGACAAUAUCUUGAGCGUUGUUACUGUAUGAAUGUAGGACAUAAAUUCAUUAUAGGCUAAUUGAGUAACUAUACCCCUCGGUUCUUUUAUGAAAGAACCAAGGUAAUAUAUUACUUGCAAAACCAAAUGGUGAAUGGUAAAAAGUUGAAAGUAACAUGUAUUAUUUCCUUUUUUAGAUUUUUACCAUUCAUCACUUUCUUUGUGUGCUGGCAUAUUCAAAUAAAGGAUUGUAUUCAAUACAAAUUUUCAAGAUCUUAUAUUAUGAAACAAAAAGAUUUCUUGUAAUUUAUAGUAUGUUUAAGAACAAAUUUCUCAUGUUGUCAAUCGAGAAACAAAUAAAUUAUGGAGUGUUUUUUUUACUGACAACAUAGGAAGUUAUUCCAAAAUAUAACAAUCGUCUUGCAAUAGGUGGAAACAACAACAACAACAACACCGCAAAAACCCAUUAUGUGAGAUAGAUUGCGAGAGCAUAAUUUUUUUUGUUCAAGGUUGGUGUUAGAAGAACAACAUACAACACAAAACCUUGAAUAUUUUCUCUGUCUUGCAAUCCAUCCUAAAGAAAAAUGUGUACGAGUUUGGAAACAAUGGAAAAAACUCAGAAACCCCAAAAAAGAAAACGUGACACAAUGGAAUCAAAUCCAAGUCAAGGGAAUUGGUAGACCAGAGCCUCAACAAUCUCAACCACUAACCUCAAUCUGUCAAACAAUGGCAAUGAAUGAUAUAUAAGAGAAAACAAACGCAAUAAAUGGUAUAACAAAAUGAACAUCAAAACUUAGUACCAACACUAUGCUUUCAUGAACAACCAUGUUUAUCUACUUCUUCACAUUGCAAAUAAACAAACUCCAAAACUCAAACCAAACAUGACACAAAUUCAAGUUCUCAUCAAAAGAAACAUGAAGGUGAUAAUGGCAAAGAUGAUGGCUAUCAAUUAUGAAUUAUUUUUAGUGUCUCACCCUUCAAUGUAUCUACUCAAGUGACAAACAACAAACUACUCAGAAAACAAAAAAUGGCCACUGCAUUUCCAACUUCAUGUUUAAUUAAGGUCAUUUUUAAGCAAGUAAUAAACAAUCUAAAAGAAAUGAAAACCAAGAGAAACAUAAACAAUGCAUUCUCAAACAAACAAAACCAGAAUGAACGCAACAAAACCUUUACACUGAAGGCAAUGGCAAUGGAUGUGGUUCUCGGUGAUGAUAUUGUGGGCGCCAGUGAAACUCACGAUGAAGGAGUUUAAGGAUGGUUCCCAGCGAUGGUAUCAUGGAAGCAAAGGUUGUCGCUUGAUGCGUAUGUUGGUGGUUUACGAAGAGGAUGGUGUUUCUCACGGUGGCUUUGAUGUUGAAGUGAAGGGAGUUGUUUGAAUGAUGAUUACACAGUUGUGAGGAGAAGAUGUGGUGAAUAAGGGUGGUGUCACGGUUGUGAAGAUUUACAGGGUGUGAGUUUUGUUUGGAAGAGUGGAAGAUGAGGUAAGUGGUUGAAUGGUAUGUGGUUUGUGGUUUGUGUAUUUUGAUGUAGGGAGAUGAAAGAGGUAUGGCGUAUGGGAGUUGAAGGUUUGUUGUUUUAUAAUGGAAAAAGAGUGAAGAAGAAUUAUAGUGGAGAGGUAUUUUUAGGAAGAAGAGGGUGUGAGGUUGGUUUUGCGUUUUUGCAGCAAACUCAAAUUAGAGAGAGGAGAUGAAGAAUACCAUACGUGAGGGAGCCAACCAACGAGAUCUUUUUUUUUAUAUUAUGAAAACAGGUUGUCAGCCACCUAUUGGUUCUUAUAGGAUUGUUUUGAAAUAAAAAAGCACCUUUCUCAUGCACCGUGUGUCCGUCUCAAAUUGGCUAUAUCCCUCUUUUUUGUCUUUUUCGUUUUAGUGGAGUGAGAGAAAGAUGCUAGUGGGAAUCCCAAAUGUGUUUCUCAUUUUUUGUGUAGUCUCUCUUGUUGGAGGAACAAAACCAUUGCCAGCUUUUUGUUUAUUUUAUCACCAUCGAGAAAAGCGGGUUCAUGAGAGGGAGAGAAAUUUUGAAUGGAUUUCUUGUGAGGACACAUGGCACAAAGUUAUUAGAAGAAGAGAUAUAUUUUCCUAUUUUCUUGAUUUUCUUUAACAAAUUUAAAUUAUUAAGUGGAAUUUCAAAAAUAAAUUAAAAAUAAACGACACAAUCAAAAUUCAAACUAAAAACAAGAUAAUUUCUAAAUAAUCGUCUCGAUUAUUUUGACUAGAAAACAUAAAUAAAUGGAUAAAAAAUUAAUAAAAAUCGGGCGCAAAAAUGCCCAAAAAAUUAAUAUGGUUGCACCACAAUGAUCAAUGCAAAAUAAACUUCUCGAAAACAUACAGUUUUUUAUCGAAUUUGAAAAAAAAAUGUCCGAUUAAAACGCUCAGGCAAAUGAAAAUGUAACCGAAAAAGUAGCUGAAAAAAUAAAUCGAGCACACCAGGUUAAACUACGUGAAACAUAGAUUAAUAAAAUUGAUGUUUGUAAACUCAAUUUUGAUAUUUUUCGUCCGCUGAUUUGACACACAUUUGAAAAUUGAUUCAAUCAGUCUGUUUGUAGAUCCAAAAAUUUAUUUUGACUAACAUUCUAGGAAUUAUGCGGUAUGGGGUGCAUGUUAUGAUAUGCAGAGAUGCAAAAACUGUGAUAUAUGUAUUGAUUCCGCGAUUCAGGGUCAAAAUUGGGGUGUGACACAUAUGUCUCAUGAUUAUUAACUGAAUAAUAAUAAUAAGUCAUAACAUUAACAUUAAUAUCAUCCGGUCAUAUGUCUUGAUCAAGUAAAAAUAGGUUCGUCCUCAAAUUUGACCUAACCUAAAGGAAUCUAGCUACUCGUGCUGAAAUUAAUCAAUACCAGUAGUUUAGAUUCAAAGAGCAUGAAAAAUCACUAAAGAAGAAGCUCUCCAAUGGCCUUCAAAAUCUCCAAAAUCACUCUAAAACGUCUCUCUCUCUCUCUCUCUCUCUCUUCUCUCUCCUCUCUUCUCCCCUCCUCCUCUCUCUCUCUUUUAUAUAAAGUUGCUGGAACGCGGGCACGUUGCACUAUCAUUACUUCAAUGUUGGCGUAUUGCUUUUCAAUGCUGGCUCGUUAGAGGCAGUGUGCGCAUGUUAUAGUCGUGUAAAAUCCAGGGGCUUCAAUGCGUUUUUGCUCCUUUUUUUCACCAAUUUUCUCACUAAGUCAUUUUCUUCACCCUAUGACGUUUUUUUCCAACUUUUUCAAUUAAAUGCUUCUAACUUGCUCAAUUCUUUUCAGAAUUCAACGAUUUUUCUUGCUAAAUGACGUGCAUUGAUAACCCUUCAUCAUAACCCCAAAUUUAAAUUGUUGCUUGUCCUCAAGUAACCUGUACGCACACUAAAACUUUAUCAAAAAAAUUAGAAACCUUACCACAUGAAUGUCACUUGAUUUUGCUAAUCAAGACCUUCGUUUCAUGAUUAGGUUUAAUCAAAUCUGAUAAUUUAUUACAUCAUCAUUACUUAACAUGUCUCUCUACUUACCAUGAUGCACUCAAUUGAAAGGAUGUUCACUCAAUCAACAUGCAAGGGUAAAAACCAGUGAAUUUAUAAGUUAUCUCCAAAAUCAGUCAGAUCAUAUUUAAACGCACAUAUUUGAGGAUUUUUUCAGUUGUAAUAUGGCUUAUGUCAGGGUAGGAUAAUUUUUGGAUAAUUGGUUUAAACCUUGGAGUUAGGUACCUCUUUGUCCUUCCGUUAUCUUUUCCCUUUCAUAUCAUUCUUUCUUUCAUACUUGGUACUAGAGAUUUUUCAAAUUUGUGGUCUUUUUCAUCAAUUUAUUUUUUGAAAAUGCCAUGUUUUAACAUCUUAUUUUAUUUAUUUUUCUUUUCUUAGACCAAAUACUAUAGUACCCCCAACCCCAAAUUAAGUGUUGCUAACUUCUAAGAGCAACCCCAAACUUAGUGUUAGCUUAUACCAAAAUUAAAAUCUAUCUACCUAACUCUAAGGAGGAUGGAAAGAUUUAUAUAUUUUAAGUCAAGGGCUUAUAAUAGGCUAAUUCUCCGAAGGAAAUGCUAAUUCACAAAUUGGUUAACAAUGGAUAUCAGUCAUAAUGUAAGGGUAGUUUAUAAGUCCGUAGAGUUUUCACAAACAAUUGCCUUUAUGCAUGUUUAUCAUAUCAACUUACUUUAAACAAAUAAAAUGUAAGUUCUAGAUAUUACAAUUGCAUGGAUACACUGAGAAAAAUAAAUAAGUAAACAAAUGGAAAUAUUAUGGCUCAAACCUCACAAGUUUAUAUUUGUAGAUUAAGCAACAACAAUGGUGUCCCCUUUCUUCAUUAAUCAUUACUCAGCAAAGUCACUUUGAUCUCGAUCACACUAUUCUCUAUCUAUUGUGACUUAUUUUCUAUUCAAAGGUAAGGUAGUAAUUAAACUGAAAAAGAAACAUACACAAACAAAAUUCAUUUAUCAAAGACAAAGCAAUACAAAAUUUAGGGCAGACAACAUUUUUGGAGCUCCCCCUUUUUAACUGAUUGGUACAAAAGGAAAUAAACAAAAGGAAAUAAAACAAAAGUAGUAUGUUGGACUAGAAACCAUCAUCAGGACGGAAGAAGUCAUGAAGUCGAGUAAGGUCAUCAUUAUAUUCCUGAUUCUACCUAGCCCAAAGGAUCCUCAUCUCUGCUUGCAUGUUUUCUAAGCUUUGAUUCUGCUCCACAAAGUGCGUCUCUGUCGCUACUAAAGUAGGAGAUUUUUUGCUUAGAUUAGGGACAAAUACAUGAUCUAUGCGAUGAUCAUAAAAAUCUUGGUACCCGACCCAAAUCUCGGGGUGUUGAUGUACAGAUUAGGCGACGCUUCAUGAGCCUAAGUGGUUAUGCCCAAGGAAAAUUCUUAUCACUGAUGCAUUUGUUCAGAACGUUGCUGAUUUUGAUGGGCUUCCUCAGGUGGUUGUUUCAUCUCAGGACGGUAGACAUCAUCCUCUCCUUGCUCCUCUUGGCCUCUGGCUGGAUGACGUGGGUGGAGGGUCUUGCGGAUGGAACUUGUUGUGGUUAGAAGCAUAUGGUUGAUCAUCACCUCUUCUGGGUGCAUCUGGACUCCUGCCAACCUGCAAAAUUUGUUAAUAACACAAAAGUGCUCCCUAUUUCUUUGGGGGGCAUCAUCCAUAAAUUUGAUGUUUCUCGUAAUGAGUAUUCCCAUAUUAAUAUGCUCAUAAUGCAAGAUAGCCGUGAGAGUCUGGCACAUUCUCACCGUCAAGUCAGAAUGAGUUGAAAUGCCUCCAAGGUUUGGAUUAAAAACGAAGCCCAAGCCUUAGGUAUCAGGAGCAUGUCUCUAACCUUCAAAUUAAUAAACCUAUCUUAAGCCAUUAUCCACUCAGUCUCAGGAUGACAAAACUCAGCCAACAUCAUCUGACUCAUCUCAUCAGAUAAUCGCACCUUCCUACUAUUUUGAAUGUUACAACUUGGAGGUGCUUGGAGACGAAUAAGAGAAUUAAUAGCUUGAGGAGAAAAAUCAAUACUUUUACCUCGGGCAUAUGAUGUGUAAUCAUGAGAUUUUUGAUUGGCAGCGUUCACGUAGAACUCAAACCCAAUGUUUUACUUGUCUCCUUAAUCAGCUUAUUCAGGCACGUUCAUCCUCUUGUCUCUAGUAUGUUGUUUAACUCUUCAAAUCUAGAGAGAUGCUCCUGAUCAAAGGCACACUCCCUCAUAAUUAUGAACUUCUUAAUCUGCAUGAGUUUUUAUGCGCUCGGUUCAUUCACAAAUAGAUACGAGGGGUAGUUGGAGCUGAUGAUAUGGAUUGACCAAAGGUACAACUUCUAUUUGGUGGUGCCAUAAAUUAUGUAAACACAAUAGUGAAAACAACAAGUCUUUUGCAAGAAUAUGAUAGUAAUUUGUGAGAAGAAGAGAGAAUUAAGAUUGGAAUGAAAAAGAAUAGCUGAAAAACCACUUUUAAAGGCCAGCUUCGCGUCCAACGUGCGCGUUGAGAUCGAAGGUGCCCGCGUUGACCAAUGGUAGAGCCAACGAUCAUCAAUCCAACGGUCAAAGCAAAUGGUCAAAAUCCCCAACUAUCAAAUCCUUCCACGCGCCCGUAUUUUUUCAGGGGCUAUCUCCAUUUUUCUGUACAAGAUUUUACUUUUCUAUCACUUGCUUAUUGUUACAUGCUACCUCCAUUGCCUUUUUUGAUGAUUCUACUCAUCCAACAAACAUAAAAAAUACGAACACAAUAAAAUAAAAAAUACAUUUAAAUUUAAAUUAAUGGAAAUUAAAAUUAUCUGAUAUGAAAUUAAUUAGAAUGGAGACAGUUAGACUAAUUGUUGCAAUCAGUAGUUAUUAGAGAUUCCUAUGUAGCAAUUAUAUGUGAAUUCAUUUGUCCUCGAUGGAAAACUAGAAUAAGUAGUUUCGAGAUAAAAGAUGUGUACAAGUUGAAGACAAAUCUUAAUGGAUUGAUACAAGCACCUAUAUUGAUGGGUUCCUACUUCAACAAAUUUAUAUUUUAAGAGCUCAACAAUUAAUCAUAAGUUGAUUAUGUACACUUUAUGUUGAUGACGAGAUCAUAAAUGGGAAUGGUGAACUUGAGAAGAAUAAAUUCAUGAAAUACUCGAUGAAUGAGUUUAAGAUGUAUCAUCUUAAAGCCUUGUCAUACAAUAGAAAGAGUACUAGUGCAUCAAAAUAUAUAUGCAAAAGAUGUAAUCGCAUGGUGAUAUAAGAGAAUUCUUGCUAUUGUUGAUCAAAUUUUAUUUAUUUUGGAUGUCUUUUUUGUCCACUCAAUUAAAAGGAAUUGUAUUCUUGCGAACUUGCUAAAGCAAUUUCUAUUUAUAUUCUUAAGAUAUUAAUAUUUAUUCCAAGAUAAAGGCAUCCAAUUCCAAAUAUAGUGUACAUGUUACCAGUGGCGGAACUUACUGCUUUUGUAUUUAGCUAAAGCUUAUUUGAUGUAGAUUCUUAAGUCUGAGACGAUCUUUCAUCUCAUUAUAUGUUCCAAUUCAUUUUGAAGACAACACAAUUUGGGUUAUACUAAACUAAUUCAUAUGAAGGAGAAGUGAUCAAUACAGUAACUGAAAAUUAAAAAACUAAUUCACUAUCGAUGGAGAUGUGAGUUAAUUGAUGAAUUAACUAAAAAAUUAUGUCCUAACAAAAUAAUGGUUUAAAAAUUAUGCAUGAGAGUAUACAACAAAAUAAUGAUUUUUAAUUCCGCAUGAAAUUAAAAAAUUAUGUCACAACAAAAUAAUGGUUUAAAUGUAUCAUCUUAAAUCAUAGAAUGAAAGUAUACAUAUCAUCUUAAUCCUGCAUGUCAAACAAAAUAUAUCAAACAUUAUCUUUUUGGUUAAUCCAACGGUUGCAUUAUGAAAGUUUGAACUAUACGGGUCUUAAGCCCAAUUAACACUUUUAAAAAUUUGUAUUAAAUAUUUUUUAAAUAAAAAUAAAUAAAAUAAUAAUUAAUUUAUGAAAAAAUAUUAAAUAAUAAAUUAUUCUAAUCAUCGUUGUCAACUCAUUAAAAAAAAUUCUAAUCAUUACUGUCACGUCUGUAAAAUUAGAGGAAGACCAACUAAAUCCUAAAUGAUAUAAAAUUCAGGGGCCAAAAAGCUGGUUUUUAAAAUAGAUUGACUAAAAAUAUUAAAAAAAACAUCGAAGUAGGGGACCAAAAGUGCAUUUAAACUUUUUUUAUAAGUGUUUUUGGACUUUUCACACGUAUUAAGAAAAUAAUCAUUGUUGCAUGUCAAAGAGAAAUUACGAAGGAUUUUACAAUAUUGUCUUUUAUUAAUUGCAAAGGAAAUAUAAAUUUAAAUAAUUGAAAGAAAAUAUGAUAAUAAAUACUUAAAGGUGUAAUAGAGAAUAACAUUAAUGAUUUUUUAAUAUUGAAAAAUGAAUUAUAUUUUGAUACAAUUUUUUCUCCAAAGAGACGGAUGAAGUAAUGAAUAAUUAAUGUAGAGAUAUUUUUGGAAUAAAGAUAUUAAAUAAGUUGAUAUUUGUUUAUAUUUAAGAUCAAAUAUUUUUUUCUUAUAAAUAAGGUCGGGGUACUAUUAUAGGAGUACUUUCUCUAUUCUAAAUUAUAAGACAUUUUAGAUAUUUCACACGAAUUAAAAAAUAUAAUUAAUUUUGUAAGAAAAAGAUAAAUUAUGUAUGAUUUUACAAUAUUGUCGAUAAUUUGUUAUAUAUGCUUCAUUUAUUAUAUAUGAAGGAAAAAGUCAAAGAAUUUGAAAAAGAAAUAUUAAUAAAUGAUAAAGAGUAUCUUAAAAAAAUACAUAAUUAAUGUUGCAUUGGAAUUAUAAAGUAACUUACUCAUUCCAUCUUAAAAUAAAAAUCUUUUAAGGUUGUUACAUACAAAUUAAGAAAACUAAUGAUUGAAUAAAUAAAUAUAACAAUUUUAAAAAAUUGUCUUUAAUUAAUAUUGGUUGUCAUAAAUACAUAGUAUGGUUUAAUAACUCGAAUGUAAUAUAGACAAUAUUUAUAACACGUAAAGUUGAUAAAAAUUAAUUAAUAUUAUAUUGAAAAAGUAAAGAGACUUUUAUUUUGAAAUAAGAUUUUCUUAGGAAAACACUUACUUUAGGACAAAGCAGUAUAAUUGAGAAAUUUUUUUUAACAUAUUGACUUAUAUUUUGGGACAGAUAGAGUAAUAUUUUUAGUUAUAUUUAUGGAUCAACUAUCAACAUUAAAUUGUUUAAAAUUAAAUCAAUGGUAUAAUAGGAACACAAGUAUUAAUUAGUUUUAAAAUGAUUGAAUUUUAAUUGUAAUAGUGAUCAAGAUUUAAGAUCAUAUUUUUGCUUAUAAUAAUGACACGAGCGAGUAUAUAUUUGGAAUUAAAAAAUUAAAAGAAUCAAGUUAAUUUUUUUAAAAUAUUUUUUAAAAAAAAAGAUUGUUUUUUUCUUAUAUUUUGUUCUGACGUAUUUCCAGGAUCCCUUAUUUUCUUGUUAUCUGAUGUAUUUUCAAAUAUUCUUUUGUAAUUUUGAUGCAUUUCAAGAGUUUUUUUCUUUUACCCUCUGAUGAAUUUCUAGAUGCGCCUUAUCCCUACCUAAUGUAUUUUCAAAUAUUCCAUUAUCAUUCAGACAUAUUUCCAUCAUUUGUUUUUUUUAUCCGAUGAAUUACCACAUACGAAUGUUGAGUUCUGAGGUAUUUUCAGAAUCUAUCCAUUUUAUUUCCGGAUUAUUUCAUUUAUAUCUCUAAUGUAUUUUCAGAUUAAGUGUUAUGUUCUGAGGUAUUUCUAGAACCUAUCUGAUGUAUUUUUGGAUUUAUGUCAUUAUCUUUAUAAUAUAUUUCCAGAACAUACUUUUAAUAUUUUCUAGUGUCUUUUAUUCAUCAAAUUGUCAUCCCCAGUGAGUCUUCACCUCCAUUGUCUUUUUCAUUCCCUGUGGAUCGCUGUUACAUUUUUCCAUCAUUAUCCACGGGUCCAUUAUCCUUUUGUUCCUCAUCCAUCAUAAAAUCCCCGUGCUAUGAUUCAUCUCAUACCACAUCAUAUUCCUAGCAAACAAAAAUGAAGAAAAAAAAGAGUUUAUGAUGCAUUCAUAACAUUUCAUAAAGGGACAAAAUUUGGAUCCUUUAAUAUUUAACUAUCUCUCACCGCGAUCAUAUGAAGAGUGUCCAUAUUCAUAUUCUUUGGUCGAAGAUACUUAAAUAGGGAAACUGUCAUACUCCAAUUUUUUUUCUCUCAUUCAAUAAAUUGAUGCAUACAUCAUGAUAUUUGCAUCACCUGCCUAGCAUAAUAUGCAUUUCAUCUUACAUAAUGCUUAAAAUGUCAAUCAAAAUAAAUUUUCGAAUAUACAAUUCUCAAAUGUACAUAAAAUUAGCGAGCAAAAUUUUUUGAAAUCAAACUUGUAAACAUCAAUUUUAUUAAUCUACGGUUCGCAUAGUUCAACCUGUCGUUCUCGUUUUAUUUUUUCGACUCCUUUUUUGUCGCAUUUUGAUCAGGUUUAGCAUUUUAACCUAUCAUUUUUUACUUUAAAAUUUGAUCAAAACCUAAUCAUUUUCUAGAAGUUUAUUUCAGGCUGUUUAUUUUAGUCCAUUCAUUUUAAUUUUUCGACCAUUUUUGUGUCAAUUUUUAUUCAUGUUGAGUCCUUUUAUUUUUGUCAAAAUGUUUUCAUUUCGAUUUCAUUGUAAUUAUUUUUAAGUGUUUGAUUUUUAUUUUGCUUAAUUAGUUUUAAUUCAAUUUAUCUCUUAAAAAUAUAUAAAGGGCAUUGUGGAAAUAUUUGAUUUUUAAAAAACCCUAGUGUAGUUAUUAUAUAUAAAAUCACCAAUGACCAGUGGAGAGAGGGAGAAGCAGCGGCAUAUCAUCUCCUUUACUAGUCUCGUCAUCUCUCAAAAUGAGUUAUGAUGAAACCUUUUUUUUCUUGGCAACAUUAUAGUUCCUCUUGUAUUCAUUAAAUGCAUGAAUCUCUUCUCUCAAAUAAAAAGACAAGAGAAUCAUGAACAAAAAGAAAAAAGAAAAGUGCAUAAAACUAAAGGCUUGGUGUUUCACUAUUCAUGUUCUUCUUCAACAAACAUAUAGCUCCUUCACGCCACCUUUCUUCAUUUCUCACCAUCAACAACAAUAAUCUUCAUGUAAAAACUUCUACACACCACUUAAAACCUCAUAAAAAUCACACCAAACAACUUUAAGCAUCAACCUACACCACACUUUCAUGAAGAUCUCCAAGUCCUCUAACACAAACUUCAUAAUCUAUUCUAUUCAACCAACCUUCAUCAUCUCACUAAACUAAUCUUCUUCAACUCUCACACUCCAAAACCAUAAACAACACUGUUGGUGCAAAGGUAGAAUAAAAGAUGAAUAUUCUAUUAAGAGAAUGACGGCUACAAAAAGGAUUAAAAGUUACAAUGAUUGACCCCCUAUUUAUAAGCCUCUAACAAACUUAAAUAUGAAUCAAAUCUAAUAUUUAAAUCUAAUAUCUAACAAACUUAAAUAUGAAUCAAAUCUAAUAUUUAAAUCUAAUAUCUAACAAACUUAAAUAUGAAUUAAAUCUAAUAAUUAAUCUAAUCCAUCCCUUAAUUCAUAUUCCAUCAAAACUUGAACACCAAUUCCAUCCCUUAAUCUGAGAAAUUGAUCAGUCUUGAUAGUUUCGUCAGAACAUCUGCCAACUGCUUCUGAGUGCUGCAGUGUACAACUUCUAACACUCCCCUCUGAACUUGAUGUCUCAGAAAAUGAUACUUGGUCUCAAUGUGCUUGCUUCCCCAUGCAACACUGGGUUUCUGGCAAGAUUGAUUGCAGACUUGUUGUCAAUCAUCAGCUUCAGAGGUUUGUUUACUUUAAUCUUCAGAUCCUGCAAUAGAUUCAGAAUCCACACAGCUUGGCAUGCAGUAACAGCACCUGCAAUAUAUUCAGCUUCACAAGUUGACAACGCCGCAACAGGUUGCUUCUUGAACACCAAGAAAUGGGACCUCCCAGAAAUUUGAAUAAGUACCCAGACGUACUUCUUCUGUCAAAUCUGUCUCCACACCAAUCAGAAUCUGAAUAACUCAGAAGUUCUGACUCAUCCUUUCUUCCAGAAGAAAUAAUACUCCAUACUUCAGAGUUCCCUUGAUAUACCUCAGAAUCCUGACAGCAGCUUGGUAAUGGGACCACUUAGGUUUACUCAUAGAACCUACUAACCAUCCCAACUGAAUAGCAAUAUCAGGUCUGGUAUUGCACAAAUACCUCAGAGAACCAACCAACUGUUGAAGGUUGUAGCGUCCACAUCCUUCCAUCAGAGUCAGAAUCCAGUUUCUGAUUUGUAUCAGAUGGUGUGACAGCAAUCUUACAAUUCUUCAAUUCAAAUCUCUUCAGAAGUUCUAAUUCAUACUUGAGCUGAUGCAAAAUAAUACCUUUCUCAGAGUAUCUGAAUUCCAUCCCUAGAAAGUAUGUCAUUUUGCCUAGAUCAGUCAUUUCGAAUUCAUUCAUCAGAACUUUCUUGAACUUGGCUAUCUCCUGUUCAGAACUUCCAGUCAAGCAGUAUAUCAUCAACAUAUAAACAUACCAGAGUCAUAUUUCCUUCAGAAGUAUGUUGAACAUAGACACACGUACUCCAUCUCACAUUUCUGAAAGCCUUGCUUCUUGAAAAAGAAUCAAUCUUCUUAUUCCAAGCUCUGGGCGCUUGUUUCAAUCCAUAUAGAGCUUUGUAUAAUCUGUACACCAUCCCUUCCUGAUUCUUUUUCACAAAUCCAGGAGGUUGUGACCCGUAAACUUCUUCUUCUAAUGGACCAUUCAGAAAUGCAGAUUUUACAUCUAAAUGCAUCAGAGGCCAAUUCCUGUUAGAAGCUAUUGCAAUCACCAUUCUGAUUGUUUCAUGUCUUGCUACAGGUGCAAACACUUCAGAGUAAUCCAACCCAGUUUUCUGUUAGAAAUCCUCUGGCUACCACCUUGCUUUAUGUUUGCCAAUUGAACCAUCUGGCUUUAACUUCUGCUUGAAAACUCAUCUGACGCUGAUGGCUUUCUUGUCUUUUGGAAGUUCUGUCAGCUUCCAAGUCUUGUUUCUCUCUAUAGCAUCAAGUUCUUCUUUCAUGGCCUUCAACCAGAGCUUCUGCUUAAGAGCCUCUUCUGUACUUAUGGGUUCAGAGUCUACUAACAUGGCACACUGAAUAACUUCUCCUUCAGAGUCUACUUCAGUGUCUUGCAGCAUGUCAAAUUCUGCAUAUCUCUGGGGAUGUUUCUGACUCUUUGUGGUCUCUGAACUUGUUCAGAGUCUUCAACUUCAGAGUUUCUACCUUCAGAUGGUUGACUUCCUCCAGAGCUUUGACCAUCUCAGGGGCUGGCAUAUUUCUAGAGUCUGAAUUGCCACUAGAAUCUGGAUUACCAUCAGAGUCUGGGUCAUCAGAGUCUGGAUCAUCAGAGUCUGAAACAUCAGAGUCUGGAACAUCAGAGUCUGGAACAUCAGAUUCUGGAUCACUAUCAGAGUCAGAAUCAACGUCAGAGUUUACUCCAACCUCAGAAAUUCUGAACUCUGACCUUUCUUCAGAAGUUCUAACAUCAGAAUCAGAUUGAGACUUUUCCUCCAAUUCCAAACUUCUGAUUCCUUCACAAUCACACUCUGCUGAAUUCAAUUUUAUUGGUUUCUGGACAAUAGAGCUUGUAUGCACCUGUACUGUGGUACCCUAUCAGAAUCAUCACUUUGCUUCUAUCAUCCAGCUUCUGUCUUCUGGCUUCUGGAACAUGUUUAUAGCAAACAGAACCAAACACCUUCAGAUGACUAACACUUUGCUUAUCUCCAGUCCACUUCUGUAUUGGAACUAUUCCUUCAACUUCUUCGUAGGACAUCGGUUGAGUACAUACGUUGCAGUGGCAACAGCUUCUCCCAGAGCUUCUGAGGAAGCUUUCUCCUUUAGCAUGCUUCUCACCAUAUCAAGCAAAGUGCGGUUUCUUCUUUCAGCAAGACCAUUGUGUUGAGGGGUAUAAGGAGCAGUAACCUCAUGCUCAAUUCCAUUCUCCUCACAGAACUUCUGGAACUCUUUGGAGUUAUACUCACCUCCACCGUCAGUUCUAAGAAUCUUCAACUUCUGACCACUCUGAUUCUCAGCCUUCAUUCUGAACUUCUUGAAUUCAUCAAACACCUCGUGUUUAAACUUAAUAAGGAUACCCAUGUCAUCUUGUGAAUUCAUCAACAAAUAACACAAAGUAUUUAUUCCCUCCAAUCGAUGCUACUGGAAAUGGACCACAACACAUCAGAAUGUACAACUCCCAAGGCAUGUUUUGCUCUUGGAGCAGUUUCUGACGCAAAUGGCAAUCGUGGUUGUUUUCCUUCCAUGCAAACUUUGCAUGACUUUUCAGGCUUCUUAAUUACAGGAAUUCCAUGUACCAACUUCUUUGAAUUCAGAUGUUUUAAGCUUCUGAAAUUCAAGUGACCAAAUCUUCUGUGCCACAGCUCACUCUCCUUCUCAGCACUUGUUGCCUAAGACAUUCUGAGUCUGCAGUUCUGACAUUCACCUUGAAUGUUCUAUCCUUCCCUGUUCUGACUCCAUAAUCAACUUCUGAUUGCAGUCAUACAGCUUCAGAAGAUUGUCCUUCAUGGUAACUGAGAAACCUUUCUCAAUUAAUUGUCCCACACUCAUCAGAUUGCUUCUGAUGCCAGGUACAUACCACACGUUCUGAAUCAAUGCUGUUUUCCCAUUGUUCAGAAUCACUCUGACAUUUCCCAUACCUUCUGCAUUAAGAUAUUUGUCAUCAGCACAUCUGAUCUUUGUUCUCUUUUCAGAGUCAAAGUCAACCAGCCAUUUCUUGUUUCCAGUAAGAUGAUUUGAACAGCCAGUGUCCAUACCACCAGCUCAUCAGAUCCAUAUCAUCAGAUUCAGAGGCCAUCAAUGCACAGAUUCGUCAUCAGAACUUCUGGCUAUAUUUGCUUCUUCUGAUUUUCUCUCCUUGUUUGACCAACAGUCUCUAGCAAAAUGACCGAACUUCUUACAGCAGUAACAUUGGAUUUUCUUCUUGUCAUACUUCUCUUUUCCCUUCUGAGCAUUCUUUUGUCUAUCAGAGGUUGAGCUUUCUGACUUCUGACCACCAUCAGAUCUUCUCCUGGCUUCUGACUGCUUCUGAUACUCCUAUUAGAAGUUGCUUUCAGAGCCUGCUGCUCUACUUCCCUUUCAGAAGUUCUCUCAGUUAAACGCAACUCUUGCGCUUCUAGACUGCUCUGCAGCUCUUCAAUCUCAUGGUGCUCAGAUCUUUGGAAUGUUCUAUUGCUACCACAAUGUAAUCAAAUUGACAGGUAAGGAUCUCAAUACCUUCUCCAUGAUUGUUUCUCAGAAAGAGUUUCUCCACACGCUUUCAUCUCAUUAGUGAUCAGAAUCAUCUGGAGAUGUAUUCAGAAACUUUCUCAUUAUUCUUCAUGUUGAGAUUUUCAUAUUGCUUUCUCAAGGACUGAAGCUUCACCUUCUUCACUGAUGCGUCACCACCAUAACAUCUAACCAGUGUGUCCCACGCAGCCUUUGCUGUCGUUGAAUCUGCAAUCUUCUCAAACACAUUUACAUCAACACAUUGAUGAAUGAAGAACAAUGCUUCUGAUCCUUCUUCCUUACUUCCUUCUCGCGCGUUUUCUGUUCAUCCGUUGCAUCUGCUGCUACCGGAAUAUAACCAUCAGUGACAAGAUCUAGAACAUCUUGAGCACCGAACAGUACACGCAUUUGGAUCAUCCAACGAUUCCAGUUUUUACCGUCAAAUACUGGAAGUUUGGUGUUCAUGUUGCCGUUUCCGUCAUCUUUCUACCUUGCACAGUACACUCAGAUUUCUCACACAGUGUUUCCAACCCCAGAAUUAAAAUUCUGAUCAGAUUUUGUUCAAGAUUCAACACGAAUCUAAGAAUCAAAUCAAACACACAAGACCUCACGUUCACUCGUGUUUCCCGUGUUUCCCAAUGAAUCCGAACCGGAGCUCUAGAUAUCAAUUGUUGGUGCAAAGGUAGAAUAAAGAUGAAUAUUCUUUAAGAGAAUGACGGCUACAAAAAGGAUUAAAGUUACAAUGAUUGACACCCUAUUUAUAAGCCUCUAACAAACUGAAAAUAUGAAUCAAAUCUAAUAUUUAAAUCUAAUAUCUAACAAACUUAAAUAUGAAUCAAAUCUAAUAUUUAAAUCUAAUAUCUAACAAACUUAAAUAUGAAUUAAAUCUAAUAAUUAAAUCUAAUAAACACCUCCCACUUUCCAUAUUCAUCUUCAUUUUCAUCACAACAUUUCUACCAUGAAAACCACUAACUUCAUACAUAUCAUUAGAAAGCACACAUAGCAACAAUAACAAAACACAAACAAAAAGAAAGAGAAACAACUCGAAAAUGGAAUCGUGAGCUGAAACGGAGGAAGAGGAAGGCAAUAUACUCGAGCUUCUUUGAAAUCGGCUAAACAAUCACAACAGCGCCACUGUUUAUCACGAGAGAGAGCUAAUUUUUUUUUCUUUUAGUCCUUUAUAGUGCCACGUGUGAUAAUCUAAAUGGCUACAUUUUAAUUUUUGAAAAAAAAUGAGAAAUUAGGCUCUCUGUUUGAAAUCCGCCGCCCCUGUUUAAGUUUUUAGUUGUUCAUUUUUUAUAUAUUUGAUUUAUUAUUUGUAUUAGGUUAGAAAUUGACUUUGGGGUUCUGCUAUUUUUUUUGAUUUUUUUUAAAUAAUUAUAAUUUUUUUUAAAAAUUCUAAAAUAAUUAUUUUUAAAAAAAAAUCCAAAAUAACCACCUUUCAAAACAGAUGCGUCAGAUGAACUGGCGCAUCCAUUUUGAACCAAGAGGAGGCGCCAGCUUUAGUGGCGCAUGCAUUGGAUGUCUCAUGAAGAGGCGCCAAUGCCUCUGGCACAUGCUUAUUGCAUGUGGUGUAUGCGUCAAUUCAUCUGGCACAUACACCCUUGUAUUGGUAUUAUUAUUUUUUAUUUUAUUUUUUUUAUCAAAUGGUAAAAAAUAAUGUAAAAAAAAAUUAUUCAUAAUAUAAUAAAUGUUACAUGGGAUUGACAAAAAUGUAAUGACCGACCUUAUCGAAACGUCCCCCUGUUCCACAUCCAGAUGUGUUAGUUUGUCUUCGAGGUCUCUCACGAUUUUCCUGAGGUGUUUAGGACCUUUGUGUGUUGACCUGAUCGAAUGAUGGCUAGUGUGAAGGUCCGACGGAAAUUCCAAUGGUAUUUGAUAGAUGUGUCAUCAUUUGUUCCCAAUAUCCUGAGGGUUCUGGCCAACGGCGCUUCCGUAAUGGAGUUUGGUGCUCAUGUCAUCGUAGUUAGAUUGAUGGGAUUGGGUGGGUUGUGGACGGUAUAGUUGCCUGAAUUUGGACAUUGAAUCGUUUUCGAAACGAAGCAAUGGUUCUUGGGGUGUACUAUAGUUAAACAAUGUUUGUGUGUUUUGAUGAUGGGAUGUUUGAGUGGUCAUUGGUGGGGGGCUACGAUGAAGUGACUCAUAUGAAUCAUCUAGGCUAUAGACAGUUGUGGUAGAAGCGUAUGGUUGUUGGUGGAUAGGGUUUGAUUCUUGGUUUUGUGGUUGGGUGAGUGACAUGAAUGGAUUGCAACGUUGGGUGUUUGGUUGUUGGGUGGAUGACAUGAAUGGGUUGCGAAGUUGGUUGUUUGAUUGUUGGGUGUAUGUGGUAGGUUGAUGGUGUGAGGUUGUUUGUUGGGUUUGGGUGGUUUGACAUUGGUGUUGGACGGAGAUUUGUUGUUGGGUGUACAAUGACGAAACUAGUUGGCAUGGAUCAAUCAAAUAUCGCGGCUCAGACACAAAUUGUUGCGUUGUCACCGACCUAAACCAUGCCAUAUAUUAUUGAGUUGGUCUUGCCAGGGACAGGGAGGUAUAUCAGUAUGGGGGCAUGUGCCCCCACUAAAUUUUUGUAAAAACAAACUUUAAUAAUAUAUAUAUAUAUUAUAUAUAUAUAUAAUAUAUAUUAAUAUAUAUAUAUAUAUAUAUAUAUAUACUAUAUAUAUAUAUAUAUAUAAAAUUUUAUCAAAACAAUAUAUUUAACCAAAAUUAUAUAUAUUAAAUUAAUUAAAAUAAUAAUAUUAUUAUAAAGAUAUUAUUAAAAAUUAGGUAAAAAUAAUAAAAUAUAUAAAUAUUGUCCAAAAGUUAAUGUGAGUUUUUUUAUUUUCAAUAACUAAAUCAAAAUGUGUCAGAUUAAAUAUAUUUGAAUUUUUUUUAUAAUAUCAAAAUAGUUUUUCUCUAAACCUUAAAAAAAAUUGAUUUAUAAGAUUUUAUAUUAAUGUUAUGAUCUCAUAAAAAAUGCAUAAAAAAAUAUUUUUCUUGAUAAUAAAAUUUAGAAAAUUACAAAAUUAAAAAAUUAAAAAAAUUAUUAAAUAUUUUUUUUGAGAUAAAUUUUAUUAAAAAAUAAAUAUAAUAUAUAUUUAUGAUUUAAAAAUAAAUAAAAACAAACUUAUAUAUUAAUAUAUUGCUCCCACAAUUCAAAAUUUCUGGCUCUGUCCCUGGAUCUUGCACCAUGGAUGACUGGUUCGUUUAAGAUGUGUUGCCGUUGAUUCCUCCAUUGACGACACAUCUCUUUUGCAAAGUCUCUCUAGUCAGAAUAAUCCCAUUGGGCAUCAACUCUUUUUUUAUGCCAAAUCUUCAAACACGUCGGAGGUCCUGGAAUUUGUUGUUGCAUGCCGGACUGCAGUCUUACCCGGUCACUUUGGUGCAUUUCCACAAUAAUGAACCGGAUAAUUGGUGUCUUUGUUGUCCAAACUGAAGCAUCGUCAUGGUUAACCUGAUGAUCAAGACCCAGAUAUGGCCUCCAGAUAAACUGUACAAUAAUACGCACGAUUAGAUGAUAAAUAAUUUGAUAAAUAUUUUUAAAUUAAAAUAGAGUUGUGUAGGAUUAUUACAUCAUCUGGUCCAAUAGAUUGCGAUAGACUAUUAUAUCGUGUUUCAGACACUUAUUGUAGUUCAUCCCCCUUACUGACCACCUAGAUAAAAAAAUGAAAAAUAUCAUUUACAGUUAAUUGUAAUGUAAAGUAUAAUUAAUUAAAUGAUAAAGUGUUAAACUUACUUUGUUGCAAACGGGAACAUGAAUGGAUUCUCGUUUACCGGGGCGAGUGACGACAUUCUUGACCAACCUCAUGCUUGUAGCAAAUACGCACAUGAAUAAAACGUACACGUAUUUUUUUUGGCAUUUUUACACAUUGCACUAUAUAGAUGGACCAACACAGCUGAACCCUAACUAUAUAUGCUUACCUUAUUAAUGUUGCGUAACAACGGUAAAUACAUAAUAUUUACUGAAUUAUCUGUACUUUCUAAAAAUAAAAAAUUACCAAAUAAAAUCAUAAUAUAAUACCGAGCUUUAAUUAUUUUUUCGUACUCGGUUGAUUCUUUGGACAAUAUUAUACUCGCAUAGUAUUAUUUAAGAUAUUUUAAAUUUAUACCUUGCCCCCUAGCUUGACCGAAUGACUCUCCCUCAAUUUGGUCGACACACCCGCAUUCGAACCGAAAUGGAUACGGCGAACAAAAUGGUUAGAUUAUGUAGUUCAUGUCAUUAGACAGGUCACAAUCGUACUAACUAUCCUAGUGUUGGAACGAGCACAACCAGAUAAAUUCACAUGUACGUUUGUUGCAAUAUAUGAAAAACUAAAUUUAUUUCAUAUUAUAAGUUUGUAAGGAAAUAUCAUUACAUAAACAUCAACGCAAGCAAUUAAAACAACUACAAUACAAUAAUUAAGCGAUUACAACCAUCAAAACAGUUUUGAACAUGUAAUGCAUCAUCCUAUGAACGUCUUGGUCAGUCUUAAUAUUCAUCCAUUCACGCACUUCUCCAUUUUGGUUGAACGUGGACACAAGCCAUUGGAUUCUUCUAAUCCUUUCAUCAUCCCCAGUUUCUCCAUUUAACCAAAUGUUCAACGUCUGAUUAAGAAGUUUAAAUAAAUCUAUAUUCCAACGCCGAAUCUUUAUCGGAGAUGCAACGACGGAAAAUAUUAAAUCAAUAUUCCGCUUAUGAAUGUAUUCAGACAUGAUUAAAACUCAAAAAUUUGAAGGAGAGUGAAGUUAAAUGAAAGAAAAUAUGGUUGUAGGGUAAGAUUUGUGUGAAAAAUAUUGCAUACAAGGCGAAGUAUUUAUACAAAAGAGAUAGAAAAUGCAUGCGAUAAGAGGCUAGGCACCUGACAUGUCAAGACAUGUAGGCACCAGAGGCAUUGGCACCUCUUCAUGAGCCAAAAUGCAGGCGCCAUAGGCAUUGGCGUCUCUUCAUGAGGCUUCCAAUGCAGGCGCCAGAGGCAUUAGUGCCUCUUCAUGAUGGAAAAUGGAUGCCCCAGUUCAUCUGGCGCAUCUGUUUUAAAAGGUUGUUAUUUUGGGGGAAAAUUGAAAAAAUGGUUAAUUUGGAAUUUAUUUUGAAAAUUAUGGUUAUUUCAAAAAAAAAAUCGGUCUACUUUCUCCCCAUGCGGAUGCAUUUUGCUGUAUUUGUGUUAUCCCAAUACAUGCAGAUUCUUUUUUCCCCCAUCCGAGUCUUUCCAUUGAUUUAUUUUCAUGGAAAUCCCCUCUUGUCUCCAGCAGUUUUUAAGUCGUAGCCUGGCCUACGCAUAACUUUUAUCCCUAGAGUCCCUGUCUCUCCAAUGAGUUUUCCUUAUGGAAUGCAUUGUGCUCCUGUGAACUUUCGAUAUCUCUGAAUUCUUUUCCUUUGUGGCAAUAUCUUCCCCACAAAGAUUAUUUUUGCAUUCAUAUCAUAUGCAUCAUGAGGUCUCUUAGGGACCAAAAUUUGUUUCUUGAUGUUGUUAUUUAAGUCCAUUCUACCGAGUUGAUAUGAAGAUUUUAACUUUCAUAUCCUUAGCUAGAAUUUCCUAAAAUAGGGGCAGAUGUAACACCCUAAUUUUGACCCUAAGAUCCCUCAUAUCAUCUCAUCAUUUGCAUUGGCUUUGGGAUCACACCUUGGUAUUAUCCUCAUCCCUCAUUCAUUGAGUUUGCAUUGGGAGAGAUCACCAAGCAUAUUUGAUUGUAUCAUACUUUACUUUCUUUGUUUACUAACAAAAACAUAAAAAAUAUGCCUAGUAUGGUGUGUGCAUCCACCUGUGCCUUAUCAAGCUCACAUCUAGGGUUUGAGACCCUCAAUGCAAGGGAGUCAAGUUAUCAAAGGUUCACAAUGGUUCUAAGCAUCAUAUAUGGGUCCCCCAUGCUCUUUAAUUGUCAUUUUGAUCAAGAAUUCGUCAAGAGUUUGAAGCUUGUUUGCCUUGGAAGCCUUAAUUCAUCUAGGUAUCUUGUGUGUCUUCCUCAGCAAGUUUCUUUAACAAUUGGUAAAAAAUAUCAAGGGAUACUUCAUUUUACUUUAUCUUAAGCCUAUGUGAUUCUCCAUGAGCCCCAAAGAGCAAAGGAACUUUAAGUUUGCAAGUUUGUUCAAAGAGGUUGACCAGAGAAAGUCAACUAGUCAAAUCUAGGGUUCCCUAAACCCUAUAUCCUACAUUUUUUUCAUAUUAAAAUGAUUCCAAGAUGAAAGUUACUCUUUAUGACAUUCCAAACAACUUUUGUGUUGGCAUCAAGAGUUAAUUUUGCUUGGAAAAUCAUUUUUUAUGGUGAAAGAUUAUAGGUCAUUUUGUAUGUGCCAUAGAUAGAAGGUCAACUUCCAAGAACCAUAACUUGCUCAAUAUUUAUGAUAUUAAUACCAUCCAAGUUUCAUGAUUAAUUUCAAGAUGUCUUCUCCAACUUUUCUUCUUUGAUAAAGUUCAAGUUUCACUUUCAAGGGCGUGUACUAAGAGGAAAUAUUAUAGGUCAUUUUGGGCCAUCAUCAUUGAACAAACAAUUUUCCUCAACUUCUAAAAUACAUAACUCCCUCAUGAAAUAUUCAAAUGGGGUCAAAUUUGUGACCAAAUUUAAUAGUAUUUAAAUAUCUAUAACUUUUAAGAAGGAACCAAAGUCAUUUGAAUCUCAUAGCAAAAGUUAUCCAAGGUGGAAAAAAUGGUCAUUUGACUUUUAACUUAGAAAAUUUUCAACUAUGUUUGAUUCCUCCAACUUCCACAUCAAAAUUCAUCAUGAUCCAAGUUCCAAAUGGACAAAAUUUCAACAUAAAAGUUAUUCCCCUUCAUGCUAGCUUUCCAAAGAGUCCAAGAUCAUGGCAUUUGGAUUAUUUUUUAGGGACUUGCGCAUGGGUGUAAUGCAUGGCCCUAUUUGGAAACAUUUGUGAUCAAUUUUCAACCAACAGUGCAUGGCCUCAUGUAUUGAUUUCAGCAUCACUUGUGCACGAUUUUGGACUCAUCUCAAUCAUUCUUUGGACCUUGUUGCAUGGCUAUGCAACCAUGCACAAGAGUUACUAUUUUUGAUAUAUUUUUGGAAGUGUAUGGAAAUGAAUCUUUAAACCUAUAAAUACAAGUCAUUUUGCUCAGAAUUAAGGACCCUUGGCCCAAGAUUUGAUUUGCAAUCUCUCCCACCCUCCAUUGAUAGAACACCUUCAGGAUUUCUCUUGAAAUCAAGUUUUAAUUCUCCUUCUGUUUUGGGAUUGAAACUCCAAGGGUUAAAGCUUUUUUUGCAUCCAAAUCAUCUCCUGCAAGUUGGUAGAAGCAAGGCAAAGUAAAUUGGAAGAGAGAUCGAGCUUCAUUAGUGCAAACAGAAGGUGAUUUUUAGAAACUUUCCUUCUUCGAUUCUCCCUCAACUCUCCAUCAUUUUACUUGAUUUUUGGUUGGCUGAUACCAAUGUAGGCAACAAGAUUGAGUUGCUUUUAGGUCAAAUCAAAGCAACUCAGUUCAUCCACCUCAUUUUUCAAUUACACAUAUCUCUCUAUAUAGUGAGAAUUGGAAGGAAAAAAAAGGUCAAAUUCGUGUUCUCCGUCAUUUUCUCUUUAAAUUGGUAUAUGGAAUCUCCAAUUUUGGUGAACUUUGGAGGUGGACCAGUCCGGUGAGGUCCAUCGGAGAAGAUGACCGGAGUUAGGGCUCUGGUGCUGCGCUGGAACUUCUCAGGUCAUCUGAUCCUUGCCUUGUGUUCUAAUCUUGGCCAUUGGUUUGAAUUACCAUGUUUGCAACGCGUUUGAGUUGAGUGCAUGGUGGACACCGCGCACGUGGCCAUCAGAUCUGUCACCUCAAUUAACGAGGGAGAUCUGAUGCCCCUUGUUUUUUCUCAUUUAUUUUAAUUUCUGGUUUUAUUUUUAAAUAGCCUUAUUUUGUUUAAUUCAUAAUAAAUUCAUUUUUAAUCGAAAAAAUAUGGGACUUUCACCAAAAAUCUUUAAAUAUUUUCCUUUUCCAUAUUUUGAAUCAAAAUCAUUGUUUGGAUUAAGUUUGAUAUUUUUUGUGAAUUAAAUGUUUUUUGACUUGUUUUUAAAUAUUUUUAAAUACUUCUGACUUUCCAAAAUUCUCAAUUUUUUUGUCUAAAGUCAUUUGAUCUUGUUUGACCUAGGAUAAAUCCAUUGGACAUUUAUUUGGUGAUAUGAAGGGAUUUGAGGUUUUUCCCUUUUUAAAAUGCUUUUUAUUCCAUUUUAAAUUGAUUUUUAAUUGUUUAAAUGUUUAAAAAUAUUGUUGAGCCAUUUGGUUGAUCUUGUGUUGUUUCAUCUUCUAUUUGGCUUUGAUCAUGGUUGAUUUGAACUUCCAUUUGAUUAAUACUAUUGGAUUUAGAGGGUUGAUGAACUGUACACUUCAUCCCUUAAGAUGAAUGGAUAAUAUUGAUUAGAUGAAAUUCCUCCCUUGAUCAAUUUGGGUUUCUAUUUCUCUUUCCCUCUUCAUCUUCAUCCCUCUUCUUCCUCAACCCUUCUAUGACCAAUGAUUUCUCUAUAAAUCAAAUGCUAGUUGAUUCAUCAAUGACCUUGUGUCAGAUGAAUCAACAUGAGCUUGACUGAGAUAGGUUCACCCCAUUUUAUUUUUGUGUGUCGUAUGCUUUUGGAGCUUGGUUCUUUGUACCAUGUCUCUAGCAUGCAUUAACAUCAAUAUAUUUAUUGCCCGGCAUUAGAUAGUUGUGACUUCUACAAAAGUCCAAUUACAACUGCUUAACAUAGAGCUAAAUUUUGACCCAAAGGCAUAGCAUUCUUGUAAGUGAGAUUGUAAGUCUCCCAUUCUUAAUGGCAUUGUGUGAAGACUUGACCUUUUUUCCAUUUAUGAGAGCUAGUGGCAUACUUGUUAAUUUAUCCAAGUUGGAGCUCUUCUCAUAGAUGAUGUCUUGGUUCAUGUCUUCAUACUUGGGAAUGGAUGGUUGGGUGUUCUCCAAAGAAUGACUUAAACAAUUGAAUCCUCCACUAACAUUUCUUUAUCAUUGUUUUAUCUUUAAUGUUAUUUACUUAAUUCAAUUUAAAUUUUAGUACCUUUAUCAUUCAUUGCCACUUACAUUUCAUGCAAGAUGUUUAUGUUUCAAUCAUCUUCAUUUUGCUCACUUGAGUCAUAUCUUUGUAAUUGUAUAUAUUGUGUGCUUGUGAUUUUGUUAUGGUUCUGGUCUUAGGACCUUAAAAUACCUAAUAACAAUAAAAACCCUAAAAAUUGUGUUGAUGGUCUGUUAGCCCUCUUCCUUUGACUUGAUCUGAACUUUUGGACUUAGAGUAGGCAACAUCCCCAUGCUUUGAAGGACUUGGCCAAUGCCAUUAUUUGAGACUGAGUUAUCUUGGCCAAUGCCAUUCAUCUGAGGAAAGCCUUGAGAUUUCCCUUGGUUUAUAUGUUACUCUGUCACUAUGCUUAAAUUGUUAUCUUGAUGUUAUUGUUUUUAUCUGAUGAUUGUUUCUAUGAGUUUGCCACGAGGAAUAUUUCAUCUGAUACAUUUGAAGACACUGAAGACUGCUCGCUUUUGGAAUGCUUGCUUGGAUUUUGUCUAUCUUUAUUUGAUGCCUUUUAUCUUCAUACUUAUUGAUCACAUGUUGCCUAUGCUUAUUGAUGCCAAAGGAAAUGGGUUUCUAUCUGACAUUCUUGUCUUGUGGAUUGCAUCUCAUUGGUCAGAUCUUUUCAACUCUAAACUUUUAAAUUUUUGUCUAGGAUAGUCUCUUCAUCUCCUUCUUUCCUUCUUAAAUUUUAAAAUCUCUCCCUCAUUUUAAAAACCGUCUUCGUUUGUGUUCUCAACUUAGACUUGUUUUAAUGAGUAGAAACUUUUUGCCUUAUGCCAUUGAUUUUCAAAACAUUUUCUUAAUCAAACUUGUAAAUAAACUUAAUCAUAUUGACUUAACUUUCAAAAAGACAAAAAGAACUAACAACUUCAUUUAAGUCUUUGGCCAUUUUGUGUCCUUUUCUUUUAAACUUUUGUUAAAAUUAAUCCACCAAUUUCUUUGAAAUUUUUACCACAAACUACGGGGUUUUGAUCCCUCAUUUUUAUGUUAGUACGUAGGCAUAAGACCGAAGGUCUUGUCAAACACAAAGGUAUAAUAAAUGAAUUCUUUUCUCAUCCCCCCAAUCUAUAUUUUAGCAAACAUUUUUUCAACCAAAAUACUUGCAUACAAAAAGGGCUCUCUAGGAGUACCUAGGGUACUUUGGAUGCUCAUACCUUCCCUCUAUAUAACCAACCCCCUUACUUGUAAUCUCUUACAUUUUUAUAGUUUUGAUCUGAAAACUUCUUAUCUUUAGGUUUUGUUCGUACUUUUCCCUUUUCCUUUGGAAACAAUAAAAGCGCGGUGGCGACUCUGAUUUUUUUGAGGUUGAGUUAUCCGUAGCUCAAUGGUCACGAAUACACCGCUAUACAAAGGUCUCAUCAAAAUCAACCCCUUCAAUUUGAGUGUAGCCUUGAUCAAUAAGCCUAGCCUUGUUUCGGGUCACAAUUCCAUUUUCAUCAGAUUUGUUCUUGUAAAUCCAUUUUGUGCCAAUAACGUUCAUCCCUUCAGACCUAGGAAAUAGGUCUCACACUUCAUUCCUUUUGAACUACCCUAGUUCUUCUUUCAUAGCAUUAAUCCAUAAUUCAUCAUUCAAGGCCUCCUUCACAUUUUUAGGUUCAAACUUUGAGACAAAACAAGCAUUGGACAUCACAUCUCUGGAUCUAGUGGUGAUCCCUUCAUUAAGAUUUCCAAUAAUAUGUUCCUUUGGAUGAUCUUUUUGAAUUCUGAUAGAGGCAACUUUGUUGGCUUGAGGGUUAUCUAAUUCAUUCAUUGUUGGCUCAAUGUUGGACUCAAUGUCUUCCAUAUUUUCUGAAGCAUUAGUUUGUUGAGAUGAUGUUCCAACAUCUUCAUUGAGAUCAGUCCCUUUCGCAAUAAUUGAAUAUCAACCACAACAUUGAUGGAUUCCAUCAUGACCUUGGUUCUGGAGUUAAAUAGUGUGUAAGCUAUGUUGUUUGUAUAGUAACCAAGAAAUAUCCCUUCAUCACUUUUGGAAUCCAUCUUUAUCCUUUGUUCACGAUCAACCAGAAUGUAGCAUUUACUCUCAAACACAUGAAAAUAUUUAACAAUAUGUUUCCUCCUUUCCAUAAUUUAUAGAGAGUGGAUGAUGUACCAGCUCUCAGAGUAACAUGAUUGUGGAUAUAGCAAGCAGUGUUCAUUGCUUCAGCCCUAAAAUUAUAAGGAAGAUUUUUUGCGUGAAGCAUGACUCUAGCUGAUUCUUGUAAUGUUUUGGUCUUGCGUUAUACAACUCCAUUUUGUUGAGGAAUGAUGGGAGAUGAGAACUCGUGACCAAUAACUUCAGAAGAACAAAAUUCAGACUCCUUGACAUGGUCACUUCCAAAGGUCUUUGAAUACCCCAAAAGUGACUGGUUUUUCUUUGAUAAAUUCACCUAAGUCAACCUUGAAAAAUCAUCGACAACCACAUACACAUACCUAUUUCCACCAAGACUUUCAACUAGCAUAAGCCCCCAUUAAGUCCAUAUGAAGAAGUUAUAAAACUUUUGAAGUAGUCUGAUGUUGCAACUUCGGGUGUGACAUCUUGGUUUGCUUCCCAAUUUGACACUCACCACAGACUUUACCCUCCUCAAUUUUGAGUUUUGGUAGAUCUCUAAUAGCUUCUUCAGACAUAAUUUUCUUCAUACCUUUGAGAUUCAUAUGUCCAAGCUUCUGGUGCCACAACUUGACUUCAUCUUCCCUAGACAUUAAACAUGUGGAAGAAGAAGUAGUUUCUUGAGGUACCCAUAAAUAGCAGUUGUCUUUAGGCCUAACUCCCCUCAUCAGAACUUCAUUUUUCUCAUUGGUAACCAAAUAUUUUGACUUGGUAAAAUUUACUUUUAGACCUUGAUCACCUAACUGGAUAAUGUUGAUCAAAUUAGCAGUUAAUCCUUUUACAAGAAGAAUAUCAUCAAGUCUAGGAAGUCCAAUACACACUAAAUUUCCUAUCCCUUUAAUUUCACAUUUACCUCCAUCACCAAAAGUAACAAAAUUGGUGGAAUAAGACUUAAUGUCCACUAAAUACUUCUUGACUCCUGUCAUAUGUCUAGAACAUCCAUUGUCAAAGUACCUGUCUUCGCUAGAUGAAGCUUUAAAAGAAGUGUGGGCUAUAAGACAAGUAUCAACAACCUUAGGUUUCCACUCCUUUCUAGUUUUAAUCAUCACAUGAUUAGCCAUAGGAUAUGUUGUAUGUUUUGGAUAACCAUAUAGUCUGUAACAUAAAGGCUUUAUAUGUCCAUAUUUACCACAGCAAUGACAUUUCCAAGGCAAAAACUUGACUUUAGUUUGAUUUUACUUAUGUCUGGUAGGAUGUUGUAACAUUUGGUCGGACAUCAUGGGCUCAUACUUCCUUUCUGGAGGAAUAAAUUUUGUCAUAAAGGUUUUUCCUUUCAGAUAUUGGUAAUCAAAACAUAUACCUUUUAAGUUUCCAUCACCUUUUCUAACUUGAAGAAUUUCAUGUAACAUAUCAGACCCAUUAUUCAACAUUUUUACUAAUUUGGUCAUAAUGUUAUCAAGUUUAGAAUUCAAUAGAGUUACCUCAUUUUCAAGAUCAGUGACAGUAGAUAAAAGUUUCUCUUCCGCUCUUCUCAUGUCUUACACACCUCUUCACUUCUGACAUAAAGCUCUUUGUAGGAAGCAGCCAAUUCUUCAUAAGUGAUAUCCUUAUCAUAGAAGUUUUCAUCAGGUUCAUAUUUACCAGUGAAGGCUGUAACAUGCUUAGCAGUUUCAUCAUCAGUUUCACCUUCAGAAUCAUCAUCAGACCAAGAAACAAAUAAGCUCUUCUUUUGUUUCUUGAGAUAUGUGGGACAUUAUGAUCUAAUGAGACCAAAACCCUCACAUCCAUGACACUAAAUAACUUUUCCUUGAUUGGGCUUUUCCUCUAUUCUUGCUUUUCUCUGAGAAUCACGGUUCUUAUUGAUGUCAAAUUGCAUCUUCUUGACAUUAGGUCUUGACUUCCUAUCCAUUUUCUUCAAUCCCUUAUUAAUUGCCUCCCAAGAAGCAUAGUGGAAUUAUAAAUUCCUUCAUCGGUCUCCAAGUCACAUUGAUCCUCUUCAUCCUCGGUGUUGGAGAAAAAAGUUAUGCUUUUGUUCUUCUUUUCAGAUCUAUCACUGAUAGCCAAUUCAAAAGUUUGAAGUGACCCAAUAAGCUCAUCCACUCUCAUGUUGCAAAUGUCUUGGGCUUCUUCAAUAGCUGUGACCUUUAUGCCAAACUUCUUAGGCAACGAUCUGAGAAUUUUUCUAACCAGCUUAUCCUUUGACAUCUUCUCUCCCAAGGCACUAGAUGAAUCGCCAAUGUCAAGAAUAUUCAUGUGAAAAUCAUGAAUGCACUCGUCAUCUUUCAUCCUGAGAUUUUCAAAUUUGUUAUCCGUAGAUUUUAGAAAAGUCACCAUACGCACCUUCUAGUAAUCAUAGUUGGUGUCAUCCAGAAUAGAUGGGUUGUUAACAAAUCCUUUUUCCUUGUCCAUAGUAACAGAAAAUAUCUUCCCUGGAGCUCACCCGAAACAAAACAAGGUGCAUGCUCUGAUGUAAAUUGAAAUUUUGGGACACAGAUAACAAAUGUCGUAUAUGAUGUCACGACACUAAGAUCAGGACAUUGUCACAACACAAACAAUUACAGUGUUAAAGUAAAUAGUAGGAAGUAAAUACCACAUGUCAAUUGUUAACCUAGUUCGUUGCAACGUCACCUGCAUCUGGGGGCAUCCAAGACAGGAAGGAAAUCCACUAUAAUAGUAUUAGUUUGAAGUUCUAAACAACCUCUGGUUGUACAAACUUCUCACCUAAUCACUACCCUUGGAAUUUCUAUCUAAGACUCCUAGAUAUGAGACCUUUUUCACUUCCCUUCGAUCACACAACAGUGAUAAUAACUUCCAAUAAUAAACAGAAGACACAUAUCCAAUAAAACAUAAUACACUCUUGCUUAAAAGCUCAUGAGUGAUUCACAAUUACAACUCAAAAACUCAAUCAAAUUCAAGCAUCUAAGUGAUACGAGAAUGACUCACAAAUAACAAUGAAAAAACUAAACCAUAACAGAGACUAUCACAUACGCAACUUAGUUGUUUUCUUAGGUUUAUAAUCGUCCUAUAAAUAGCCCCAAAAUAGCAUGGGCUCCGGGCUAAAUAAUCAGCAGAUCUAAAUUAGACUGUUGCACAAUCUUCUACAUAAUGAAAUCAAAUCAAAUCAAAUCGGAUGUCUCCUUAGAUGUUUUGUCAUCCUUUCUUGGGAAACAAGGCAAAGGUUAAACCGACAUUUGCUUCUAAAAUAAAUGCUUCUUGGACCACAAAAUAAGUGAAUCAAAUCUUCAAAGAAUCUUCACUAAUCUCAUGCUAAAAAAACAAAUCUUUCAAGAAUGUACAAACACAGCACGCCACGAUAUCGUACAAGUAUGUCAAGACAUCUUGUCCAACAUCUUGCUAUUUUACUUGUUUUAACAAAAUAUUGCCAAUCACAAUACAAACAACCUAAUAGACUUCAUAGAGUGUAUGCUAUAAGAGCAUACCUCUUAAAUUUGGUUGGCAUUGUGAUUUUUGUGGACAAGAGUGCCACUUGUGUGGAUGCCGUCUAUUUAUGAUACUUCGAGGAUUUUGAGGGGGUUCAUGAGUACAAUUGAGGGAUCAUUUGUUUAGUGUACUUAUAUUAUAAGUUAUCUGAAGGUUGAAGGUGGAAGAUAAAGCAAGUGACAAGCAGCAUCGCACUUUUGAAGGUAAUAUUUUUUUGUUUUUUAGUGUUUGUGUAUCAUUUUCAUUACAUUUUUACAACGCCCUUACUGAUGAUUCGUCUGUUCCAACAAUUUCCAGGCUUGGAUCCUCUAGCACGUCCCACGCAUCUCGGUUGGUUCUGUGUACCGACAUAUACUAAGGAUAUGUCGUGUGCGUCUACAUUUGCUCUGCUCAUAGGGAACUAGGAGAUAGAGUCGUUUCGAGGGUAUCUUGAUCACUUUGUAGCUAAGGAUAUGCACGUUAACAACUAUGUGAAUCACCGCGAGACGCAACCAUUUAACAACAUAGUGUUAUACUCUGGAUGGUUGACUUGCGGUUCACGUCUGACAUUUCCUCAUCUGCCUGAGUGCGUCAUGCGACAAUUCGGCUACAUCCACACUAUUCCUAGACACUCUUUUGUCUUUAUUCCUUCUGUUAUAACACAUAAAGAUAUGGAUGUCAUAUUUGAUUAUUAUCUUAGUCAUCUGAUACUGUAGGAGGCAUUAAGUACCAUAGCUGAGAGCGAUGUGGACGGGUACAUCAAUUGAUUCUUCAGAAUGUCGCGUUCAUAUAUGAUGCAGGUUGUUCCAGAAAAUCCACUGAGGUCAGCUCAUCAGAAGGUACUAGAGGAGGAGCAGGCAUAGUUAGAUCAUAUUCAUGAUAGAUGUCAUCACAUUGUGGAGAUUGCGCAGGAAUACAUUGACAGAUGUAUCUUUCCUUAUGGUUUUGAGAUGAAAGAGGUCCUAGAUGUCAUUAUGACGAAGGCACGAGAGACACUGAUGUACCGGAGACUGACAGUCGAAGAUCCCGAAGAGCUCUAGUCUAGCAUAUACUAUAGUUGAUAGUCCUUAUACUUUGAAUUUACUAUCGAUUGUAUUUUAUUUCGACUUUAUUGUGUAUUUCGACUUCAUUGUGUAUCGGCUUAGGACUUAUUUUGACCAUCUGGAUUUAUAAAUCUCAUUUUUUACAUAUCGAUAAUAUGGUUUAAUAUUCAUCACAUAACAGAUACCUUAACAUUUAUAAAUCAUCAUUUUUAUCUGAGUAACCAUAAAACUAAUUUAACUUACAAUGUUUUAAUAGGUUAUUGAGAUGCAUCACCGAAUCAAUAAAUAUUUAAAAUAGACCUUUUAAAAAUGAAUGCAUGGAAUAUUUUAAAACAUUUUAGAAAUGCAUCUAUAAAUAUUUUAACUUAAGAUAAUAUACUUCAUCCGUCUCAUAUUAUAAUAUAGAUCACCUGUCUCAUAUAUUAUAAUAUAGAUCAGAUACAUUAAUUAUUUAAUUAAUCUAAAAAAUAAAAUUUUCAUGAAAAUAUUUUACAACAUUUUAGAGAUGCAUCUAUAAACAUUUUGACUUAAGAUAACAUACUCCCUCCAUCUCAUAUUAUAAUAUAGAUCAGAAAAAAUAAAAUUUGCUAUAAUAUGGAAUAGAGGGAAUAUGUAUAGAAUAUUCAUCACAAAUUCCAUCUUAAAAUCUCUUCUUUACAAUAGCAACAGAUAAAAAAAUAUAUUUUAUAUAUACAAAAAAAUUAAUCUAUUAUUAAUUUAUUUGUAAAAUCGAAUACCGGGCAUAUCCUAUUUUCUCUAGUUAUAUUUUAUUCAUCCAAGUCCAUUAAUUAUAUUAUUUGGACGAAAUGUAUCCAUUUUUAUUUUUUAAAGUGGCAAUCGCACCAUGUCAUAUUACAUCUUAAAUUAUAUAUUUACCAAGAUCCUUAAAAAUUUCGACAGUAAACAAAUUGAGAAAAGAAUUAAAAGUACAAAUAAAAUCUAAUCACAUUGCCUGCAUUCUUGAUAAACUAUCUUUCGAAUUAACUGGCACCGCAAUAAUGCAUCAUCAAAUACACGUUAGAAAAAUGCUCAUAAAUUGACAGAUUAAAAAGAAAGAAUAAUUUAAAAUAAUUCCUACUACACUUUAACUAUUUCAAAAGUAAGAUAGGUAAGCACUGUUCACACACCGAAAGAAAUGAGAAAAACAUCAUUAAGGUCCUCACUCUUCCCUAUAAUCUGGAUUGUCCUUCAAUAUUACAAACCCUUCAAGAAUUGGCGAUAUGGGAAUAUAUCUGCAGAAAAACAACUGUUAGUAUGAAAAAGACAAGAAAGCUUGCUCUAAAAUUUUAUAAGGUAGUAGAAGAAUUACUUUUCUGUGGCUAGCUCUGCCCUAUCCCCAGCAGCCAAUAGAACAGGGGUGGAAUGGGUCUGAAAUCCAGUUAUCGUCUUAGGACGACCUGCCUGUCCAACAACGUCCACUGCUUGACCAACCCGAACAGGCACUGAAAGAGGCUUUAAGCUCUCAUCCACAGUUAACAACAUCCUCGGCUGUUGCAACAGAAUAUAAUUAAAACCAGCUUCAAAUGGGGGAAGAGAUAGAGGAAAUGAGACUCAAACAAACCUGCAUUGCCAAAACGAGGAAGUAGAGAACAUAGUGAUAUUUUCCCAACACAAUAGCUUUCAUAUCAAGGCAAGCAUGCAACAUAGUAAUUAGUCCGGCAAGUGCUGUCCUGUAAAAAUUGAAAGGCAAGUAAUGUCAAAUACAAAUAUUACAAUGAAACAUGUCAUUUGAAGUCACGACGUAAAUUAGGUUGCUGCUACAUGACAAAAAGGUUUUACUUAAGAGACAACAGAAGAUGGGAAAACUUACGGUGACAGUAAAGCCCGGUCAGAAUGAUAAGGAUUAAGUGUAAGAAGUCCCUUUCCCAAAUGUACAAGACCUUGGGCAAUUCGCACCUGUAGGGCAGAAAAGAAAAUCAGAGAUCAUUAAAACAACCAGAAUUAUAAAAUAAGGACAGCUAGCUUAUAGAUGAAACAUACACAAAAUAGAAGGCUGGUAUCCUUGUAGUAAUAGCUUGAAAGAUUGCGUAGCAUGCCAGCAAUUCGAGCAUUGUUUGUUCCGGCGCCUAUUAGACCCAAGGAGAUAACAGCUGCCUGUAGCAUACAAAAAAAUUUCUCAAAAAAAAUAAGAAUCAUAUCAUAGACAGCAAUGAUUUAAGAGGCUUUACCAUCUUACCAUUGCUACUUCUGAAUCAGUAUCAUGGCUAAGUCUGCUUAAGGUAUCCAUAACAUUGACCUGUAACAAUCAAUAAAAGAGUUAGCAAUCAGCAAAGUAAACAAACAUGAAACCUUGCUUAAGAUUGCAACCAGAGUUAGCAGUAUCGCGACAAAAACACACAAGUUAAAGUCUCAAAGUCAUGUUGGCUUGCUGACUCGGCAGUAAACUCGGUAAACUCAUCCGAGUUCAAGAAGCGAGUCGUUUCACUUUUCCAGCGGCGGCGUUUCAGUUUUCAAGAUGCUUUUUUCUAUAAAUAAACCCUAGUUAGGUGAAAACGGGUCUGGGUCGGGUCAUUUAAUAUUAAAUGCUGAUUUAUUAUAAUUUUUACAAAAUAGGAAUGUGUAAAGACACAUCAAACUUUCUCUUUUUCAAGAAAAAUGCAUAGUAUCAUAUCAUUGGAAUGGAAUAAACCAACCGUUACUGAAUUACUGCAACAUAAAUUCUUUCUCCCAUUACUUCUUCAUCGUAAACAUUCAAGCUUCCUCUUUCUCACUAACAAAUUAUUUAAACAGAAUCACUUCCUCUUUUCUCUUUCACAUUCAAGCUUCUUCUUCUUCCUCUUUUUCUAUGUUUUUUUUUUAUGAAUUUAUGGUAAUUAUCAUGAACUUAUGAAUUUAUGGUUAUGAAUGUGAACUUAUUUUGUAUUAUAUAGUAUGAUUUUUUAGAAUGUGUAUGUAAUUAUACAUACAAAAAUAUAUUUUCCACCAAUAGUAGGAUCUUACAAUCCGUGCUACGAUCCUCUACCAAUUCUGCGUAAACUCUUGAGUUUUUAAACAUUGAUUGCAACAGUUGUUUACCAUCUGUCAUCUUUUCAGAACAUGGUCAUAAUGUGCUCAACACUGAUAAAUAAUGAUACUAAGGUGAUAAAUAGUAGGUAGGCAAAUCUAUUUUACCUUUGGAUUUGAUAUGCACAACAGACCAAGUGCCAGAGGAACUGCUCGGCGAAUAUUCUGCUCUCCAUACUGUAGAAGAUGUUCUAACGAUCGAAUAGCCAUCUCAACACCUAAUUCUUCAGCCAUUGCUACCAUAGCAAUUCCAAGAACUGCCGGACCUUGGUGCAUUUCACCUUUGUCAAGAUGUUGUGAACAAUGACCCAAAAGAUUUUGCACCUGCAUGAAAUAAGCACCGGCAAUUAUAAACAUUAAAGGCUGCAGCAGAAAUCUUUUCAUUAAAAGGUUAAGUAUAUUAUAAGAGUAUACCUUGAGAACAUUCCCAGUUCCAGCAUAGGCACAUGACAGUAGUGUCAUGUCACAAUACUUCCUAAUUUUUUCAUUAAAAGUCUUUGAAACUUCAGCAGUUGCCUCCACAUUUUCCUGUUACAGAGCACAAUAUGGAGUAAAUAUUACAUGAGUGACUUUGACCCAACCUAAUAGAAAAACCCCUCCAACUAUUCAACGUUCUCAGAAACUAAAGAAAUAAGAUUACAAAUGCUUUGCAAAUGUAGAUAAGGCAAUCUAUAACACAUCUACAAAGGUCCAACUUUGACUUGGACCUUGCAUGGUGAGUUUUGUAGAACCAGGGUUCCUUUUAAAUGAACUAAAAAGACAAAAGGACAACAAAAGAGGCAAUUGAAACUGUCAAUCGAGAAAUACCUGCUUCCCAAGAUAAAGAAGACCAAGGCCGAGUGGUAGUAGUCGUGUAAGGGGCUCUCCUAACUCUGACUCACUCCGGUCCAUCAAUGUAAAUAUGAUUGCUUGAGCAACUUCCUCAUUGCAAGAACCCACAUAGAUCAAGCCCAAUGCAAUUGCCGUGAAAGCAAUCACAUCAAGUGAAGCUUUAGGAUCACUCAGAAUAGGUGCCAACUUGUAUCGUAGCUGAAAGAAGCAAUCAGUCGAAUUAUAUUAGCAAAUAAAAAGGAGCACGCAUCUCAACAAGGAGUAUUACUGACAGAAACUACUCACCUGCUCAUUCUGGGAACCUGCAUAUGCAAUUCCUAAUCCCAUAAUUGCACCAAUUCUGGUCGAACUAUCUUCUUUAUCUAUAUAAUCACCAAGGAGUGCCAUUGCCUACAAAGGAAUCAAAUAAGGUCAAACACAGAAAAUUAAAAUAUGCACAUCAUACUGAAAAGGAAAAAAUAAAAGGAGCUCACAGGAUCACAGUCAUUCUUGAUACUACAAUUGACAAUUCCAACUCCCAGUAAUGCACCAGCGAUGACAUGGUUAUCAUUACUGUGGAAGUAUUUGUCAAGUUGUGCAAGUCCAGAGUCAACAUCCCAGAGUAAAAUCAUACCCUGUUACAAUACAAGGGACAAUAUAAGCAUAGAAAAUGAUAUUAAUGAGAUCCAUAAAUCAGAAAUUAAAAGAAUAAUGAUGAUUCAGUAAGAAAGUCAUACCAGACUUGCUGCAGCACUAGUCUUCCCAUGUUCCUUGUUUUUGAAAAGCCAAUUUCCAGAAGAACCACUACUUGAAGAAUCUGAUGCAACGGUCAUUAACUUAUCCUGCACAACAUAAAUACAAAUAUCGAAUCACAACAUAUGCAACAUAAAUUUUCUUGAAAUAUAAAGAAGGUUUACUGUACCUGACCAAACCCAGCAUUAACAAAAGCAUUAACAAAAGUAGCAGCAAGGUUCUGUCUAGCUGAGUCAACACUCGCACCAGCACUUGCACGACCAUCAAGCAAAUGUGCCUAGGAGAAAACAAAUAAGAAUAAAAUGUGAGGAUAACAGCAAAUCAACAAUGUGACACACUGCAACAACAACAACCAAGCCUUAUCCCACUAAGUGGGGUCGGCUACACGGAUCAAAUUUUGUCAUAAUGUUCUAUCCAAGACCAUGUAAAACAAUGCGACACACUAGAGAUAAAAAUAGCAUAGCUAAACACAAUGUUUUUCUGAUACCAUUGAACAUGAGCACAACCAUAGAUUAAAUUCCAGCCUCUACACUAGCUUCAUGUAGCCUUGUAAAUUAAGUAUAUACAAUUGUAAUCAAUAAAAGGCAAUGUGUUAGGAAAAGCAGGGCUGCUUUAGUAAGGAGAGGAUGCAUGCCUCUACAAAGAAUUAGAGCCCGGAACCUUAUUAACCAAACUUAAAAUCCGAACAAAGAAAAACAAUAAUACAGAAAGUAGAAACAAAAAGUCCUGAUUCUUUAAAUUUCAAAUAAUGGUAUUUGCAUCAAUUAUGACAAGAACAUAAGUAUAAGCUCUUCCAUUUAUUAAUCAAGGCUAUCUUAUAGCAAAGCAACAAAUUUUAAUAAGAGAAUCAAGUGCAUCAAAAAGUAUUAUUUCAUUUAUGGUUAAUAAAUAAAAGUUCAUUUUGUGAAAAAUUGUAAGUAAUGAAUACAACAAUUUAGUAGCAACUGGCAAACCAAAUAAAAAAUGAAAAUAAAGCAGUUCUGUGGCAAGCCUGUCUGUCUAUGCUUAUACUUUAAUUUAUGGAUGUCUUAUAAUAACUAAAUAGUUUUUCAACCAAAAAAAGUCAUUUUGACUUAAGCAAACGGGUCCUAAAUUCAACAAACACAUGACAAAUCAGAGUCAACUGGGUCCCAAAUCACAUGCAAUUUUCAAUAGAAACUCUUAGAAAUGACAUGCAGCCAUAUGCCGUCCGCAAAACUAAUACAUGCAUACCAAAUAAAAAAAUAUGGUUCACUUAUCUAUCCUUUUGCCAAACUAAAUUGUCUUAACCCUAGGGUUUGCAGGGGAAAAAGAACUCUAGUAAUCCAGCUUUCAUUGUAGGUAAGUAACUUCUGGCCAAUACUUGUUCUAGCCAAGGAUCAAACUCGGGUACUCCCUAUAAUUCAACCUCAACUGAAACUCGUUAAAUAUACUUAAACUCAAGCACUUGGUUUCCUUUGAUCAAAUUGAACCAUAUUUUAAUCAAUAAAAACUUAAAUCUCAGAGCAUUAGAUGUAAGAACUUCACACGAACAGGGAGUCAUAUGUAGUCAAGUGUUCAUUACAGUAAGAGUAAAUUUAACAUCAGAAACACACCUUGUAUAUAUCUUCAGGGGACUUGGGCUCCAUGACUUCAAUAUCACGAGCAAGAGUCAGAUAUCCUUCACUUAACUUAGAAUUAUUUAUGAUAUCCUGCAACACUUCUCGGUCUUCAUCAUCAUUAACCAUUUCCUCGUCAAGCUCAAAAGUGAUUCCCUGAAUGCAUCACAAAAACCGUCAAAAAUGAGUCCCAAAUAUAAUUUAGAGUGGAAUUUUAAGUCUCUCUGACACCCUUUAGCUUUGCCAUUGCCAACAUAUAGCUAGAGUUGAGCAUAUUAAUUACAAGUAAAAACUGACAUGCAACAGUUACAUAUAUUAUGACAGGCAAGGAAACUACGACUAAAAAAUGUUCAAAUACUAACACAAAAUCCAGGACUUACAUGGCGUGCAAGUAUAUAACAAAACUGCUUCUUUCGCAGCACAUCAGCACAAGAGGUGAACACCUGCCUCACAUACUGUUAACACUGCAGCUAGUUAGUUUCAAACCACAAGUUUUAAGGAACGCAUUUUAGAAAAAUCGGUUUUUUACAGUUUACAGUAUAUGGAUAAUCAAUAAAGAGAAAAUCAAUCACAAUAAUUAAAGAAUUCCAGUGUCACACCUGCAGGUUAUCUAGGAACAAUGCGAUUUGAAGUGCAUUUGGAUAUUCUUCAAAUUUUAGAUAGAUUAAAUAUGCAAUGUCCAAAACUAGCAUAUCAUCUGGUCCAGGAAGAUACCUGUAAAAUUCAAAAAAGAAAUUGCUAAUCUGUCAGUAAUUUUACCCAAAAAAGAAACAGACAAGACCUCAUUGUCAUGCAAAUUGACGCUUACAACUCAAAAUAGAUCCAGAGCCAAGCCAAUGGCUAUAUAUCAAACAAAACUUUAAACUAUCCUCCCCAGUUGCAUGCGAAACUCCAUCUAAUAAACCUUUAUUAAUAUAUAAACAGCCACUUUUUAAAUGCUUUCCAAUACAGAAUUAAUUAUCUUCAGAGCCAAGGGAAUGGCUACAGAAACACGCCAUUUCAGUAUAUUCUGUUACAUGAACAAAUACCUUCCAAUCCUUAGUGUUAUUAUAUCUGAAAAUACCUUAUUGUACCAUUUGUAUCUGAGAGUGUCUUGAAUUAUCUCAUAGAAUAGAAAUAGGUUUUUAUUACUGGUUAUCAUCUUGAUUAACUUCUCUAUUCAACUAGGAUUAGGAGUCUUGUAUCCCUACAAUAGGGAUUAGUGCUUAACAUUUCAGCACCAAUAGAUCAUCAUCACAACCUUAAUCAUAUUUUGAAAUCUCCAUUCUUUCUCUCACUAAAACCCUAUGACUUCAAUAGUUGGUAUACUCACAGACACCCAGAACAAUAAUAAAUGGUCCAAGUAUCACCAAAUCACUUUAUCACUUUGUUGUGUCCGCGAUGAUAACCAAUGACAUCACUUAACAAUUAAAUUAUGAAAAUUCAAACAAAAUUACAGAUAUUGACAUAGAAUUAGAUAGAUAUUGCCAUACAUAAGGGAAACCAAAGAAAUGGGUGUUCGAGUUUGUGAAACAAAAAAUCUUUGAACCACAAGACACAAAAGUUCAACCUUUAUGAUAAACUAUUAUUUUCUCUUUCUUCAUAACUGUUCUGAAGUUAAUUGAUUCCCUUAAAAUAUAACAUGAGGUCUGACUUACCUAGCUGAACUUGUGAGAUACAGGCAAGUCCUUCUAAAAUUUGCUUUGUCAACAUGCUCGAUCAACAUAUCCAGGUCUUCAACCUAACAAUAAACAUUCAUUACAUGAAAAUGUCAUUCAGAUCACUAUCUGAAUAGGUCUGGAACGACCAAAAAAGGAUGUGAGAUAUUACCUCCAUCAAAAGAUCAACAGCUUCUGGUUCAGCAUUAUGCUGCAGAAAAUUAAAAUUGGUCAAGAAACAAUUAUUAGCAAUCAUCAUGUAACACAUCUUGGUGCGUCAAUAUUCUAUAUAAACAUUAUUUAGUAAAAUGAAUGCUAUAGAUGAUACCUUCAUGUGAAAAGCAACUAUUUGCUGUACAAGUUCCAUGAGAUCAUCAAUUGGAGCCUCUUCACUCUGUCAAUACAAAGUUAGAAAACAAUUACCUAUAAGCAUAACACUUAAGUAAAUUUGCAAUAGUUAACAUUACUAAAAAAAAGUACAGAAAAUACUGCAGUGAGGGCAUGUAAAUUAGCUAGAUGCCUAACCUGUCGUUUUGCAUAUUCUUGUGCAAUUUCUCCAGCCAAAUUUCUGACAUCAAAAGAAAACAUAAGAUUGAAAUUGACGAUAUAAUCAACUCUUUUCAGUCAAAACUCCGUCACCAAAAUUUAACUAGUGAUCAGUUGUUUAUAACAACAGUUCAUCUUCAACAGUAUAAAGCACAGACACAACACAAAGAAGAAUAAAAUAAUUCUCACCUAACAUAUUCAUGUCCCCAUGAACCAAUAUCGCCCUCUGAACCUAGUAAUCUGUAUUUGAGACUUUCCUGACAGAUUCAAUGGAAACGGUCAAUAUAACAGCUAGAUGAAAACUGUUGUGGAAUGGUUUCAAAAGAAAAAGAUUGGCUACCAGAAGAACCCAGUGGAGUGUUAGAUUUAGAGGUUUAAAGAAGAAGGAGAUAGAAAGGAAAAAAAGAAAAACAUAAUAUGGGUGAUGCAACUGGAAAGGAAAAGAGAGAAUGUGUAGGAAAACGGACUAUGGGAAAAUCAGGUUUGAGUAUUAAAAAUGUCUUUAUGAAGGUACACCCCCAAACUUUAACACAAUCAAGGCAAUAGCCUAAAAAUUUAUUCAGUUUCUAAAUACAGCAAACUCACUCGUUCUCCUUCUGCAGACAUUGUAAGGGCCAAAACUGACAAUAUGUCUGCCAAGUACUUCUGCAAUAAGGAAAUAAAAACCAGUUAAGCAGCAUAAUACCAUACUGUUACUCCAAUGUCAUUCCUAAAACACACAAAUAGCAAUACCUUCAACUCUGAUUCCGCCAUAGUUUCAUAAUAUGUCUUAAGAGUGCCAUAAUGUGGGCGCAGAAACUUCAGUGGCUUGGGAACUGAGGUCAUGGAGCUGGUUGAAGUACGAAUUUCUUGUCUACAAUACAACCAUAGAUUCCAAUUUCAACACACAAACACACAAUUUAAAAAAAAAAUAAGUCAAUUCCCACUCUAAUCAACAUCCGUUCACUUAAUCACUUAAAGUGAACCCUCAACUAUAAAAUUAGGUUUACCUCAUGCUCUCAAGUGCAACCUUCUGCAAUCCAGGCUCGGAAUCCUGAACCCUCUCAACAUACAACUCGAGUUGUUGCUUCAGAGCCAAAUCCUCAUCUGACUGCACGGAUUACCACAAAAACAAUUGAAUUUGUUUACCUCAAGCGAGCUUAAUAGACACGCGAACCGUUAAAUAAGUAGUGGAACAACAACAAAAAUCGAAUCCAGGCUGUUCGACUUACCAGAUCUUCACUCUCGAUCUUCUUCUUUGCCGCUGCUUCGUCUUUGGCGGUUCCACUUGUGCUGGCGCCGGUACCGGCACGAUUAGCAUCGGGAGCCAUCGGAGAAUGAGGAGUGGGAAACCCUAAAGUGGAGUUAACGUGAAAUUAAAAGGGGAUUGAACUACGAAAUAGAAGAAGUGAAAAUCUCGCGAAUUGAGUUUUGGUGGUGACUGCUAAAGUGAAAAAACGUGGGACCUUGGAGAAUUUAGAAGAGGGAGGUUUCUUGUUGCCGAGGAUUUGUUAUUUUUUCAAUGGGCUACUAUUUAUAAAUAAGGCCCAAUAGCUUGGGUUUUUGGGCUCCUAGGUUAACUUUAAAAAAAAAUGGGGAAUGCUCUUUUUAUCCUUAGGGAUGCGCCCUACACUGAAAAUUUAAAAAUGUUUUUCAUUUAUUCAGAGAUGAAUCUUCCGAUGCAUCCAAAAUCACAUUAGUCCUCAUCUUUCUGAGAUCCACUCCAUUUUAAAUAAAAUAUUGUAUGAAGAUACAUCUUUGUAUAUUAUUUAGGUGUAUUCGGAUAUGCAUCCGUGAAAUACAUCAUGUACUAAUUUAUGAUGUUUUUAUUCACUUAGUCGAUUUAAUUAACAACUCGGUGAAGUUUCCGGAUAUGCACAUCUGGAAAUAUCAAGCGGGAAAUUGGAUAAAACAUCACCUUGCAUGAUAUUCUUCUUCAUGCUCAAACUACACUUCAUUUUCAAAACCCUUAAAAAAGUGUCUUUCAUUCUCAAUCAACCUUUCAACACCAAAAUAUCAUUCUUGUAUUUAAUUACAUUAAAAGAAAUAAAAUAAGUUGGAAUUAUAGGUAACGUUCGUUCAUUUCAUCCCAUAUUCCUUACAUUAAUGUGUUGUUUGAGUUAAAAAAAUGAAUGUUGAAUUCGUAUAUGUGUCUUCAGACGAAGUUUGGUGUGUUCCGGAUAUGCAUCUCCGAAUCGUCCUGAUAGUUUUAGUUUUAAAGUUGUUUUUCUGUUAUUAGUGGUAUUAAAUAUGGUGCACCCAGAUAUGUUUCUCAAAGCUAUUGUGAUUGUGGAUAUUAAAUUGGUCGAAGUGAAUCAUAGUGCUAAACUGGAUGAAGUGAAUGAUGAUGUUAAACCGAGUGUUCGGCCAGUUGUUGUCGAGGUAGAUGUUCGUACAUUAUUUAUAAAUAAACAAGAGUUUAUUGUUCAUAUGCUACAAUAGGUCUGCAUGGAGGGCGGGAAAUUGGGGUUUGGUAUUGUAAUAGCAAGGUCUGACAAUAGUUCGGAUAGAAGACAAAUAUUUGUAAUAAUGAGAUGAGAAAGAAGUGGCACAUACCAACCAUAACACCCCAAAAACCCCACUUACAAAUAUGUAUAAUUAUUGGUAAUUUCAAAUACUCAAACAUAGGGUGUCACACACACUUCAUCAUCACAUGCUCAUUUUUAUUAAAUUCAUCACAACAGAAUCAACAAAAUAAAAUAACUUUAAUAAUCUCAUUAAAUAAUUCAAAUAUCUCAUAAUUAAAAAGUAUCUCAAAACUUCUCAAAUGGAGCAAAUAGGAUUCAAAACAAAAUACUCUCAAACUCGAAACACAGUAGAAACGUUUCCCCCAAAGUGUUACAUUAUCAAAUCAACACGACUAAUAACUCAAAACAAAAAAGAUAACGAAGAGGCCAAAUAUGUCAUCCUCCAAGUCAACAGUUACUAAGGGCAUCUACCUGAGUAUCUGCCCCACCAGGAUAAAGUACAAACACCAAAAAUAGCAGGGGUGAGAAUACGUUCAUAUAUAGAUAGUGUGCAUAAAUAAGAAGGAUGGAUAAGCGACAUGGUAUCACUCUCGUAACUCAUAUCAACUACCAGGACAACCUUGAUAA